Molecule: long non-coding RNA, 59485 nt
Filed under: Gossypium raimondii (Peruvian cotton)
Lineage: Eukaryota; Viridiplantae; Streptophyta; Magnoliopsida; Malvales; Malvaceae
Description: long non-coding RNA (GRAI_LNC003420)
Rfam family: tRNA (bases 48246-48338)
Source: RNAcentral
CCAAAUUUCAUCGAUAUAUUGAAGGAUAACGGUGGAUUCACAGAUCGGUUUUCCACCAUGAACGAGCACCGGGACUUGCUUAUGAAUUGGAUUAUAUUGAAGAAGCGAAGGACUCUUGUUGAGGAGAUCUUCUUCAAUAUAUUCGUACAGUAUGCCUUUGAGUUUUAGAGCCCAAAUUACUCUGUAACCGUACGGACUAAACCAAGUUCCGAGCAAUUUUACGACCGCCAUGAUUGGGAGGUUAGUUCAGAGAUUCUGAGAGCGCUGAGUGCAAAUUUAUAAUAGGAUUACUGGUCAAAGAUUUGUCUAAAAAUUUCAUGAUAUAAAAAAAGAGAAAUUGACAAAAAUUGUAGGCCCUAAAAGUUGGAAUCUGUCACUAAGACUUUUAUACGAAGAUGAAGUAUUAUAAAAGAUUUUUAUAUAAUAAUAUAAGGUAAUGUCAUGCAUGAUGCAAUAUAAGGUAAGGUAGUCCAACCGAACAAUCCAAUCCUAUUUAAACACAAGUAAAAACCCCAUAUAUAAUUUUAAACCCAUAUAUAAUUGAAUAUAUAUGUUUUCUUUUAUAAUUAAGGUAUCAUAUAUAUUUAUUUUAUCCGUGUGUUGAUUUGAUGAUCAGGGUGUUCAUCGUCUCAGAUGUGAUUUGGUUUCAAGUCACGCUAAUCGCGUUGCUGUUAGGACUUUACUCUCCUCUUAUAAUUCACUGAAAAGGAUAAUUUAUCUUUGACGUUUUAGCAAGCGUGUCAUCAUGUCUAGGGAGCAUUUGACUAUAAAAUCAAACCGUGCUAAUGUGUCGAUAUGUAAAAAGUGAAAAAUAUUUUAGAGUUGUUUUAGAACUAACUACUACUUAAAUUAAUCGAAAAUUCUAUUUUAUUAUAUAUUAUAUGUGUAUGUAUGCUAACAUAUAUAAUAAACAAAAAUAAAAUAAGAUGACUUCUUUUUUCAUGUUUCCUACUCGUUGAAUUCUGUAAUAAUUCUGUAACAUAUCCAAAAUGAGUUCUGUUGUUUUCAUAAUAUAUUUUGUCUGACAUAUGAAGAAAUGAUUGUCUAAAAUGGCUGCUGUUUCCAGAACUUUUUAUAUCUGACAUUUAAGAAAUGGUUGUCCAAAACGGCCGUUGUUUUCAUAAUUUAUUAUGUCCGACAUAUGAAGAAAUUGUUGCCUAAAAUGGCUGUUGUUGGGUUAUGGUUGUCGACACCAUUUUUUGAUAAAACGGAGUUGACUUGGAUAUUAAAAAUGAAAACGAAUAUAGAAGUUGUCACCAAUCUUUUUUGAUGAUGUGUGAUCGGGUCAAUUCAAAAAGUGGUUGUUUUUAAUAAACCAUUCGGUUUUAUUAAAACAACGAUUUUGGUUCAUGAAAUUCAGAAAAAUGGGUUCGGAAGUCGGUUACGUACGAGGAAGGAUUAGCACCCUCGUAACGCCCAAAAAUUGGUACCUAGUUGAUUAAUUAGUGUUGUCCAAAAUGACUGUUGUUUUCAGAAAUGAUUGUCUAAAAUGGCUGCUGUUUCCAGAACUUAUUACGUCUGACAUUUAAGAAAUGGUUGUCCAAAACGAACGUUGUUUUCAUAAUUUAUUAUGUCUAACAUAUGAAGAAAUGGUUGUCUAAAAUGUAUGUGGUUUUCAUAAUUCAUUUCUUUCUUGAAUGGUUGGUUGUAUUCUUAUGUUGGUAAGUGAAGUGAAUAAAAUUCGAUUUAAUUUUAAAAAUUUGAUAAAAAUUUUAAAAUUUAAAUUAAAUAGUUUGAAUUAUUCGAGUUAUUUGGAUCAACUCGAAUAAAAAAUUAUUAUUUUUGGUUUAAUUCGAAUAUGAACUCGAAUAUGAAUUACAAUAUUUGAGUUAUCUGAAAAUCUAAAUAAAAAAUACAAAAUUACGUCGUUUUGAUAAAUAUUUACUUUCUCUAAAGUUAAAAGGCAAAAUUACGUUGUUUUGCUAAAUAUUUACUCAUCAGCCUUAUUUUCUUUCUCGAAUCCCCCCACUUUCCCUUUUUUCUUUACUCAAAAUUAACCUAAAAGUUUGUAAUUCGUCUACUACUUAAAUAAUUAGUCUAUGUAAAUGCAAUAUUGAAUAUAAAUAAUAGGAUUCGUUAACUCAACUCAACUUGGCUCGAAAUUUUUUUACUCGAUUCAACUCAAUUUUAAAAAAAUACAAAUUGAAUUCGGUUUCUAAAAUAGUAUUCAUCAAUUUGACUAACUUAAUUUUUUUUUCACCCCGGCAAGUGUGAUGAAAAUUGAGGGGAAAUUGAGGGAAAAGUUUUGAUGGUUGUCAGUUGUUGAGUGAGCUGUCGUGACAUGCAAAACCCAUGCAUGUUGUCCUAAUAUGACUUAUUGUUAUGAAAAUAAUGUCCUGCUGGAGUUGAUUAAAUAUUAAUGUCCUAUGCUGCAAUUAAAAGAUAUCAUAGUGCUGUAUCAUAUUUAAAAUGUAAGUAUUUAUGUUGUCUUAAAACAUUAUCUGUAUGGAUUAAUUACUGUAAUUUAAACCGUCUUAAUAAUGAAAUUGUGAUAUCUUAAAGCAGUAAAUUGUGGUUAAAAUGUAUAAAUCUGGGAGUAAAUCGAGUUUUAUUUGUGGAAUGACAUGUUGUAACAACCCAAUUUUGGGUCUAGUCGGAACAGUGGUUUCGGGACCACAAAUCCGACGAGGAAAAAUGUAAUUGCCUGAAUUUUCAGGGGUGUCAGAACAGUGAUUCGAGAUCACUAAAUCCGACAACUGAGUAGAAAAUAUUAUUAAUUUAGUGAGUAUAAGUUAAAUGUGAAGUUAAGAAAAUUUUUGAAAUAGUGAAUAGUGCACUAGAAAUAAAUAUUAAAAUAGUUAGAAUAAAAAACGAGGUAUCGAGACCUCAAAGAUUUUAAACCGAGCCAUAAAUAUUUUUAUAAAUAUUUAUGGAGUGUUAAAAAGUUAGUAUUAAAGUUUCAAUAAUUAAUUGAACAAAAAGGACUAAAUUGUAACAAAUGCAAAAUUCUGGGAAAUGAUUAAAUAGCUUAAAUGAUAAAAGGAAGAGGACUUAAAAGGAAAAUAGACCCAAUGUCUAUUUGGGCUGGACGGCAAAGGCAUGAAAUCAGCAAGAAAGUAAGGAGAAUUAAGGGCAAAAUUGGAAUAUUGUAAAAUUACUUAAUAAAGCUAGGAUCAAAGUGGAAUUAUCUAGAUUUCUCUUUAUUUUUCUGCAUUCUAAUCAGCUAAAACACCAUAGAAGGGUUUCCUUAAGAUGGUGCUUCAUAUUUUUACUGCAAGUAAGUUCAAUUCUUGAUUAUUUCUUGAAAUUGUUGUGCUUUUGUGACUUUUACAACUAGGCCCACUUGUUGAAUUCAUUAGUUUUUGAUUCUAUGAAAGAAGUUGAAAGUUGCUAUGAAUAUGUGCUGGAAGUAUAUGAUGAUUUAGCAUGGAAUUAGAGCUUUAAAUUGUUUAUAUGCUAAUUUUAUUGAAAGAAAUGAAUAGAAAGUCAAUGUUUGGGACCUAAUAGUAAAAGAGUUUGAAGUUAGGGUUUUAUGAGGAAAUUUUGAAUUUCAAUAGUUAUGAAUAACUUAUAAGGUCUAGGUAAAGUACUAAUUGAGAAAAAUUACCUUAAUUGAGGGGUUAAUUGAGCAAGGACUGAAUUGUAUGAACUGUGAAAUUUAGGGCAAAAUAGAAAUUAACAUUUUGCACUAAAACAGUUUUGGAUAGCAACAGUAGUUUAAAUUUCAAAAAUCACCAAAAAUUAUGGGAAUCGAAUUAGAGAAUGAAUAAAACAUGAAAUUAAAGCUUAUUGAGUCUAGUUUCUCAUAGAAGAAACGGUGUAAGCAAUAGAAUUGUAAAUUAUGAGAUAUAAUAAAUUUUGUGAUACAAGGUCAGAAAGAUUUCGGGUUCCCCUGUUCUGACUUUGGAAAAUCAUCAAAAAUUGAAUAAAAAUAAUUAGGGGCUUAAAUUUAUAUAUUUAAAAUCAUGAAUAAGUCUAUUUUCAAGAGAAACAAAUAGAAACAUCAUUCAAGUCUCGUACAAGGAGAUAAUUAAUUUUUAGUGAAGAAGGAUCGAAAUUGUUUAAUAGUGAAAUAGGAGAGACUUUAAAGGCUAAGCCAAAAAUUCUAAAAAUUUUAUGUUAAAAAGAUAUAUGAGUCUAGUUUCCGGAAAAAUUAACAGAUCUUAAUUUAAAGCUUCGUAACUCGAGAUAUAAAUAAUUUAGUGACUCUAACUCGGAUAGACAGCUUUGAAUUUACUUAUAAGUAAAUAGUGAAAAUAUAGUUAAUGUUAUUAAGCAUGUUAUAUACAUUAAGGAUGUGGAAUGAAAAGGAGGAGGAGGAAAAUUAGAAAAUAUAUGAAUGACUUGUGCAUAAAUCGGUCAUAUAUUCGAUCAUAAUCGAUAAAUGUUGAAUUAGAAACGAUGUAAUGUUUUAUUUCAAAUAGUUACUGUGAGAUUGAUGAUAUCUGAUUUUAGCUAAAUUAAAAGCUAAAGCGAUGUUUUCAUUGAAAAAUUAAGAAUUUCAUAAAUGUGUUAAUGAAUGGCAUAAUCGAUAAACGUUGAGUUAAAUGGUAAAUACGUAUUAGUAUUGAACUUAAUGAUAUUGAAUUGUAUGAGAAGUAAAUGGAAAUUUCUAUUGCUAGUGAUAUGAUUUGAAUUAAAAAAAUUAUUGCGAUAUUGAAAUGUAUAUUGGAUUGAGAAAUUGAUUUGAAUUGUGAACAUGAUAAAUUAUGAAUUGAAUGAAAUGGAAAUGAAGCAUUGAAUUGUUAAGACUUGUGAAUUGCAUGAAUAUAAAUCGAAUCCCGUAGGCCCUAUUUAUUAUGAAUAUAAUAUUUAGAGGAUAUAUUGUGAAGAAUUAUAAAAGCAUGUUAAAAUUUUGAAAGUUUUAAUUUAGAAGAAAUUUUAUAAUAUGAUUAAAUAAGUUUACAAAGAUGGAGUAUUAUGAAAGAUUUUAUAUAGUAAUAUAAGGUAAUGUCAUGCAUGAUGCAAUAUAAGGUAAGGUAGUGUCAUGCAUGAUGCAUCUUUAUUAAUUUUUUUUUAAUUUGAAUAAAUGUUUUUAGAAAUAAAUUAGUGGUUGGUUGAAUUGAUUAGGCCAUUAGUUUGUCGAUUUGAUAAGUUCGAUAAAGAUAUAAUAAUAAAUUCAUAAAAAAGAAUAUUUAAGAAAUCUAGUUCAACUGUCAAUUUAAUUGAUUUUUUAACUGGUUCAAUCGAUUUGAUGUUUUUUUCGAAUCUAUAUUUCGACCUGUUUCUAGUCCAACCGAACAAUCCAAUCCUAUUUAAACACAAGUAAAAACCCCAUAUAUAAUUGAAUAUAUAUGUUUUUUUAUAAUUAAGGUAUCAUAUAUAUUUAUUUUACCCGUGUGUUGAUUUGAUGAUCAGGGUGUUCAUCGUCUCAGAUAUGAUUUGGUUUCAAGUCACGCUAAUCGCGUUGCUGCUAGGACUUUACUCUCCUCUUAUAAUUCACUAAAAAAGAUAAUUUAUCUUUGACGUUUUAGCAAACGUGUCAUCAUGUCUAGGGAACAUUUGACCAUAAAAUCAAACCGUGUUGAUAUGUAAUAAGUGAAAAAUAUUUUAGAAUUGUUUUAGAACUAACUACUAAAAUUAUGCGAAAAUUCUAUUUUAUUAUAUAUUAUAUGUGUAUGUACGCUAACAAAUAUAAUAAACAAAAAUAAAAUAAAAUAAGAUGACUUCUUUUUUCAUGUUUCUUACUCGUUGAAUUAUGUAAUAAUUCAGUUUUUUGUAGUGCCGGAAAGUGAAAUAUCGACACUUUAUUUUCGUAAAUCAAAUUCGUAAAAAUUAUUAUUAAAUCACACCCAACAAUUUUGAGACCUUGAGAAUUUUUUUUUGAACUUUUGAAAUUUGCAUGUUAAAUAGUUGUUUCUUCAUGUGGGAGACGGUCAAAGUGGUAAAGGCAAGGAGCAAGGUUGUGCUUGUGACGGCAACUUGGGGAAGAUUUGGGUAAGUUUCCUUGAAAUUUACAGACUUAAUUGCCAGGUUGAAGUAAGCUAGUUGGUGACUUCAAUUAAGUUGUCUGAAUUUUAUGAAUAAACUGUGAAUUAGCUGCUGUUGAUUUUCGGUAUGUAGCAAAUCAAACGUGUUGGAAAUUUGAAGAAAUGGUUGUCCAAAAGGACUGUUGUUUUCAUAAUAUAUUUUGUCUGACAUAUGAAGAAAUGAUUGUCUAAAAUGGCUGCUGUUUCCAGAACUUAUUAUGUCUGACAUUUAAGAAAUGGUUGUCCAAAACGACUUCGUAAUUUAUUAUUUCUGACAUAUGAAGAAAUGGUUGUCUAAAAUGGCUGUUGUUCGGUUAUGGUGCGGGUUUAAUUCAUUUCUUUCUUGAAUGGUUGGUUGUAUUCUUAUUUUGGUAAGUAGGUGAAUAAAAUUUGAUUCGACUUUAAAAAUUUAAUAAAAAAUUUAAAAUUUAAAUUAAAUAGUUCGAAUUAAUCGAGUUAUUUGGAUCAACUCGAAUAAAAAAUCAAAUUUUUUGGUUUAAUUCGAAUAUGAACUCGAAUAUGAAUUACACAAUUCGAAUUAUUUGAAAAUCUAAAUAAAAAAUACAAAAUUACAUCAUUUUGAUAAAUAUUUACUUCGUCUAAAGUUAAAAGGCAAAAUUAAGUUGUUUUAAUAAAUAUUUACCCAUCAGCCUUAUUUUCUUUCUCGAAUCCCCCCACUUUCCCUUUUUUCUUUACUAAAAAUUAACCUAAAAGUUUAUAAUUCGUCUACUAGUUAAAUAAUCAGUCUAUGUAAACGCAAUAUUGAAUAUAAAUAAUAAGAUUCGUUAACUCGACUCAACUUGACUCGAAAUUUUUUUACUCGAUUCGACAAAAUUUAAAAAAAUACAAAUUAAACUCGGUUGCUAAAAUAAUGCCCACCUCUACUGGUAAGUGUGAUGAAAAUUGAGAGAAAAGUUUUGAUGAUUGUUGUAAUACCCAAUUUUGCCCCGGGCCUGUUAAAAUAAUACAAAAACCAAAAUAUAAAUAAAGUCCAAAUAUUAGACAGUCCAUUGACAUAGUCCAAUUAAUUACACCAGCCCAUAUAGCCCAAUAACCAAAAAAAAGCCCAAAGCUUCGACCCAAAUACAAUUGUUAACCCAAUUCCAGAAACCAUCCCGCCUUCCUCGCACGCCGCCAGCAGCCUCUCACCAUAGCCACCCGCGUGCGUGCGCCCCUAGUUGUACCUGCAACUAGGGGGUGUGCAAAAUUCGUGUAAAAUCGAAAAAAAUUCAGUUAACCGACUGAAUUCGAUUAAUUGGUCGGUUAACCGAAUUUUUUUGGUCGAGGGUCGGUUAAUUAUUUUUUAAUUUUUUGGUUAACGGUUAAUUCGGUUCGAAACUAGUCGAUUAACCGAAUUUUUUCGGUUUAAGUAAAAAAAUUAAUAAAUAAAAUUAUAAUAUAUAAAUAGGCCCACUAUUCACCUAAACCCAAUCCAAACCCAAGUAUUCAAUCCAACCCAAUUACCCAACUCAACCCAAUCAUAAAAAUUACAAAUAAUUUAAUAAAUAAAAAUAAAAUUCUAAAACUAAAACUAAAACUAAAGUCUAAAAGUCUAAAUAUAAUUUAAUUAUGUAGUGAUUCAAUUCGGUUAAUUCUGGUAAUUCGGUUAAUUUUUAACCAAAAAUAAAAAACAUAUAAUUUUCGGUUAAUUCAGAUAACCGACCGAAUUAACUGAAAAAUUUCGGUUCGGUUAAUUUUUUUGAAAAAUUUUCGGUUCGGUUAACGGUUAAAAAUUUUGAAAGGUCGAUUAAUUCGGUUAAUAUUAUUUCGGGUCGGUUAACCGAACAAACACCCCUACCUGCAACAGCAAACAGCAAACAAUACCAACAAAGCAGUAACAGCAAAAUAGAAUAACAGAAAAGGGAAUAAUAGAAUAUAGGAAAUGUAUUUCUUUGUUUAUUUUUAUUUUAUUAUUAUUUUUCUAUUUCAUUUUUCGGCUAUAAAAGAGCCGAUUCAAGCACUGUAAAAGGAGACGCAUUCAAAGAAAAAGAAACAGAAUCAUCAAAAAAAGAAGAAUAGAGUUUUUUUUUUUCUGAAGGUUUUUUUUUUCGAUUUCAAUUUAUUUUCCUUGUUUCAUUUGAUUGGCUUUGAUUAUAAGCUAAAAGAGGAAGAGAAGAAGCGUCUUACCAGAGCGGGCGCCAUUGGAACCUGGUUUGCUCCGUCUGAAUCAGAGUCAAAUCGGGUUCGUGACUGGAGACCGACGGGGAGAAAGGCUAGGUUGUUGGUAUGUUUUAGGAUAGCAAAACAACUUAUCAAGGUUUUAGUUUUUAGUUUUUUAAAGAUAAUAAAACAGUGCCGUUUAAGCCUGAUUUGAUGGCUUCAAAACGACACCGUGUUGACUAACACCCGAUGACCCGACCCGAACGAGGUGGGAUCCGCGCGUUUUGAGUCUGUUGGGAUUUUUGCGCAUCAGAUCCCUCUGUUUUGCGUUUUGGUUCAAUCUAAUCCUUUUGUUUUUUUAAUUUUGGCCACCUAUUUCUUUGUAAAUGCCAUUUGGUCCGCGAUGAAACGCCACGUUUUGGGGGAUGGGAUAUUUUCUCGUUUAAUCCCUAUGUAAUUCACGCAUUUUUCUUUGGCCCUCACUGAUAUAGUAUUUUCAUUUUUCUCUCUUAAUUUUGUAUUAAAUACAUUUUAGCCCACAUUUGUUUAGUCUAAAAAUGUAUUAAUUAUUUAAAUUUGUUAUGGAUUAUUAUUUUAAGUUAGUCAUGUAUAUUUUAAUUUAUUAUGAAUAUUUUAAAUGUAUCAUACAUCAUUAUUUUUAAAUCUAUUAUGUAUGCAUAUUUUAAUUGUAUUAUGUAUAAUUAUUUUAAAAUUCAUAUUUAUAUUAUUAUUUUCUUAAUGUUAUUAUAGUAUCAUAAGUUUAGCAUGUACCAUUAUUUUAAGUUUUUAUAUUACUAUUUACUUUAGUCAUGAAUAUUUUUUUGUAUUUUAAUUCAAUAAAAUCUAUACCAAAUUGAUUUCAUUUUUAGUUCUUUCAUAUACUUUUAUCUUUAAAUUUGUAUGGUAACAUUCUAUAAUGUAAUUUCAUAUAUAUAUACAUACAAUUUAUAUUAAAUUAUUAUUUUUGUAUACAUAUAUAUAGUAUAUUAUUUAAUUUUGGAACUGUAUAUUUCUAUAUAUACAUAGAUAUUUUAUUUCUUCCUAAUAUAUUUAGUUUAUUUCACAUUUUUGUAUAUUUGUAUAUUAUCACUUGCAUGAAAUUCCAAACCCUAUGUAUUAUUUAUUUAAAAAUUAAUAUAUAUUUUUUUAUGCUUUAUUUUUCCCUUGUGUAAAAUUUGCUUCAAAAUUCAUCUAAACACCAUUAGUUAAUGUUUUUUGCAAAUUUGUUUUAAACUUAUGUAUAUGUUUUUAAUUUUUGAAUGUAUAUUGAUUGCAAUUUGUUCUUUUGUACAUUUAGCAAAUAAAUUGACAAUUCAUUUGGUUUUGGAAUAUUGAUUUUAUUAGCGUUCGCAUAAUAUGUGAUUGUGAUUAUUGUUGCUAUGUGAAUUAUUGGGUUUGUCUUUAUUUACUGUUUAUUUGAUUAGUGUAAGUUUAUUUACAAAUUGUCUUUUUUUUUUUUGGCGUUGUACAUAAACAUUAAAUUAUACUACAUUUGUUUUAAAAAUUGUGUUUCAUUAGAGCACUAAAAUCAUUCUAUUCCGUGAAUUUUAAAAAAUGCUCGGUGUUCACGAUUCUCGAGAGGAUUGUGCCCUAACUUACUGGGCUUCAAUUCUUUUCUAUGAAUUUAGAUAGCCAAGUAUUUAUUUUGCAAUAAAACCAUACAAUUUCAAAAUAAAGUUUUUCUGGGAUUUCAAAAUGUUGAAUCCUAACUCAUUGGAUAUGACAUUUUGCUACCUCGAAUUAAGGAUUUUUAAAAUAAAGGCAAUAUUCGGUGUUUAGGAAUUUCGAGAAAUUGAAUCCUAACUUACUGGGUUCUGAUUUUUUUCGUUUGACCCAAAUAGCCAAAUAUCCUUCUCAAAAUGCACAAGUUUUUAAAGUUAAAAAGAUAAACUUAAUUUUGAAGAUUAAAAAUGUUGCAUUCUAACUCACUGAGUGUGACAAUUUAUUUCUUUGAAAUGAGUGUGUCUUAUCAUUCAAUUCGUUUUAUUCAAAUUUUCUUUUCAAAGGAUCGUAUUUUAAAAUCUUUUUAAAUUUUCAACACUAAGAUAUCAAAUAAUCAAUUCGGUACCAAUUUUGGGCGUUACGAGGGUGCUAACCCUUCCCCAUGCGUAACCAACUCCCAAACCUGUUUUCUCAAAUUUCGAAGACCAAAAUCGUUUUUAAUGUGAGCUGAUCACACCUCAAUAAAGGAUUGGUGGCGACUCCAAUUUUCGUUUCUAAGUCAACAACUAAAUUUUGUUUUCAAAAAGUGGUUUUGACAAUUGUCAGUUGUUGAGUGAGCUGUCGUGACAUGCAAAACCCAUGCAUGUAGUCCGAAUAAGACUUACUGUUAUGAAAAUAAUGUCCUGCUGGAGUUGAUUAAAUAUGAAUGUCCUAUGCUGCAAUUAAAAGAUGUCAUAGUGUUGUAUCGUGUUUAAAAUGUGAGUAUUUAUGUUGUCUUAAAACAUUAUCUGUGUGGAUUAAUUACUGUAAUUUAAACCGUCUUAAUAAUGAAAUUGUGAUAUCUUAAAGCAGUAAAUUGUGGUUAAAAUGUAUAACUCUGGGAGUAAAUCGAGUUUUAUUUGUGGAAUGACAUGUUAUUUUAGAAGUACAAAUUGAGUGUCGCUAAUGGUGAGUUCUUUCAGUUUUUAUCGAUUUAUGUGUAAUGUUUAAUUCAAUUUUUGAGUUUACAGGUCGGGAAUUUGAAGAUGAUUAUGUGACAACCAGUUGAUAUGAUUACAAAUGUGAUAUGAAAAGAUUAUAUUCAUAAUAUAAGUUGACAUAUUAAACUGCCUACGAACUUUUGAUUUUUAUUUAUGUCCUCACAUAAUUUACAUAAUAAACCAGAUUUUACCUUGUCGUCUGCAAAUUUGAUCCAAAACAGAGCAACAGCUCUGUCAUAGGGAUCAGCCGGCAGCAAGGGAUUCUGCGACCAAAUUUCAUCGAUAUAUUGAAGGAUGACGGUGGAUUCACAGAUCGGUUUUCCGUCAUGAACGAGCACCGGGACUUUCUCAUGAAUUGGAUUAUAUUGAAGAAGCAAAGGACUCUUGUUGCGGAGAUCUUCGUCAAUAUAUUCGUAAGGUAUGCCUUUGAGUUUCAGAGCCCAAAUUACUCUGUAACCGUACGGGCUAAAGAAAGCUCCGAACAAUUUCACGACCACCAUGGUUGGGAGAUUAGGUCAGAGAUUUUGAGAGCGCUGAGUGCAAAUUUAUAAUAGGAUUACUGGUCAAAGAUUUGCCUAAGGUUUAUAAUAGGAUUACUGGUCAAAGAUUUGUAGACAAAAGAGAAAUCGACAAAAAUUGUAGACCCUAAAAGUUAGAAUUUGUCACUAAGACUUUUUUAUAUAAAAGAUUUUAUAUAAUAAUAUAAGGUAAUGUGAUGCAUGAUGCAUCUUUAUUAAUUGUUUUUUUAAUUUGAAUAAAUGUUUUUAGAAAUAAAUUAGUGGUUGGUUGAAUUGGUUAGGUCAUUAGUUCGUCGAUUUGAUAAGUUCAAUAAAGAUAUAAUAAUAAAUUCAUAAAAAAAAUUAUGAAAUACAGUUCAACCGUCAAUUUAAUUGAUUUUUUAACCGGUUCAAUCGAUUCGAUGUUUUUUUUCGAAUCUAUAUUUCGACCUGUUUCCAGUUCAACCGAACAAUCCAAUCAUAUAUAAACACAAGUAAACACCCCAUAUAAAAUUGAAUAUAUAUGUUUUUUUUAUAAUUAAGGUAUCAUAUAUAUUUAUUUUACCUGUGUGUUGAUUUGAUGAUUAGGGUGUUCACCGUCUCAAAUGUGAUAUUGGUUCAAGCCACGCUAAUCGUGUUGCUGUUAGGACUUUGCUCUCCUCUAAAUCACACCCAACAAUUUUGAGACCUUGAGAAUGUUUUUUUUUUACUUUAGAAAUUUGCAUGUCAAAUAGUUGUUUCUUCAUGUGGAAGACGGUCAAAGUGGUAAAGGGAAGGAGCAAGCUUGUGCUUGCGACAGCAACUUGGGGAAGAUUUCGUUAAGUUUCCUUGAAAUCUACACACUGACUCGUUUACUUAAUUGCCAGAUUGAAGUAAACUGGUUGCUGACUUCAAUUAAGUUAUCUGAAUUUUAUGAAUAAACUGUGAAUUAGCUGCUGUUGGAAAUUUGAAGAAAUGGUUGUCCAAAAUCACUGUUGUUUUCAUCUGACAUAUGAAGAAAUGAUUGUCUAAAAUGGCUGCUGUUUCCAGAACUUAUUAUAUCUGAUAUUUAAGAAAUGGUUGUCCAAAAUAACCCUUUUUUUUCAUAAUUUAUAUUUUCAUACUAACUUCAUAAACCUUUCUAUUCAUGAUUCCACUAACUCAAUUUACGGAAUUGGAUUUUAAAAUUGUAUUUUUUUCGACAAUGUUUAAAAUCGGGUCAUUACAAGUAAAUUAAAAGAAUAAAUAAUAUUUUGGGCAAAUGAAAGAUAUUUAUUGUGCUAAAAAACUAUAUUAGUUAGUUUAGAGACAAGAUAACACAUAUAAUUGACUUAAUAAAUGAAAAGGCCGAUAUAGGAGGGAGGGGCGGCAAACUAGUAUGGACCCAUUGAAUUUUUUUAUUUUUAUUUUGAUAAUUUAUUUAAACAAACUGAUCGAAAUUAUUGGACUAACAAAGCAGUGACUUGAUCAGUUCGAACUUUGAAAACCUUCAAUAAAGAACACAAGUGUCCAAACCCUAAUUCGAUUUUGAUGUCAACAUCAUCUCUCUACCAUGCUUCAAGAAAGUAGACAUCUUAUCGGUAUCAGGAAAGUUGUCUUUGAUUACAGGGAUUGAUUUGAAAUUUUGGAUCCACGAGCUCACUCGAGGGAACUUGUGUGGCUCACAGAUUUCAAGCCCUAGUAUGUCUUCGAGAACCCCAAGCCAGAUAGCAACAAAGGAAAAUGCAAUGUCCACCAUGUUUAUCUCGUCUCCGCCGAAUAACUUUUUCACUCCGAUCAGCGCAUGUUCUUCCAUGACUUCCAACAUUUCCAACCACUCUUUCACUGCUGCCUGUUGUUCUUCGCCAUUGGCUCGAUAAAGCUUUAACAUUAAAUAACCCUGUUUUAAACAGAGAUAUGGGAUUUCUAGUAUGAGGCAUCAAAAGUUAUGUACAAUAAAAGAUUUUCAAAGAUUUCAACUAGGUUAAAAUAUGCUACAAAUCCUUUUAUUCUUUGUAUGUUUAAAAUUUAGUCCUCCUAUUUUUGUUUUAAGAAAUUUAAUCCCAUUACUUUUAAAUUUAAAAAGGGUUAAAUCACUUCACGGGGUUUGAACUUAGCAAGUACUCCCACAUUAGGGCAUGAACUUUUUUUUUGUUCAAAUUAGUCCUUAAACUUGACAAUUAUUCUCACGGUAUGGCCUGAUAAAAGUUACUUAUCACUUAAUAAAUAAUAUUUUUAAUUAACUCAAUUUUAAUUUAUUUAUUUUAAUAUUACGUUAUCCUAUAAAAACCUUAUGUUUAAAAUUUUAAUUAUGGUUUAGAAUAAGGUAAAAUGUUUAAAAAAUAAGAAUAAAAUGUAAAAUAUAUUUUUUUUAUAAUUCAAGAUCUAUAUUUAUCAAACAAUAUAAUUAUAUUCCGUAAUUAAUUUUAAGUAAUGUAUCAAACAAAUUUUAUAACUUAAAUUCGGCACGUAAAUUUUCAAUACUUAAUUUUUCAACCCUUAUUUUUUCUGCACUUUAUCUUUUAGUUUAUCAAAGAACACCUUAGUCCCUAUAUUUUCUUGAAAACCCUAAUAAGCCCCAACAUCGGAACAAUUGCCUAGUCCAAGCACUAGCAUGAGAACAAUUACCACAUUUAGGGACUAACUUGGACAAAAAAAAGUUCAAGCCUCAAUGUAGGAACAAUUACCUAAUUCAAGCCUUAACAUGUGACCCAAUAUGAGAAUUGUUGCCAAGUUCAGGCCUCAAAUAAUGAUUUAACCCAUUUAAAAAUGUAAAUAUAAUCGUAAACAUGAUUUUUUUGGAUUAAAUUCAAGUUCAUAACUCAUUUUUUUCGUUAUAUGACUACCAAAUGAAUAACUAUUUUUUUUAUUUCAAAAUAUCAUACCAAAAAAUUUAAUAAAAAAAUUAACUGUGUUAACAAUUGAGUUCGGGUUUAGAGUAAAAAAAUUACCAAUUUUAUAUGUCAAUGACAUGAAAAAAUUACUAAAAAUAUUAUUAAAUAAUUAGAAAUAGACAAUAGAUGAGGUGGUGGGAAAGGUCCAUAAAAUAGUUUCUCCCAAUACAACAUUUAAUAAAUAAUUUUGGCUAUAAAUAUAAAUAUAAAAAAUCAAUAAACGGGAAAAUCGUCAUAUGCAUCAAAUAAAUAAAUAAAAGGUUUAAUUGCAAAAUUAGUGUCUAAACUAUAUCAAUUUUCUCAUUUUAAGUACCUAAAAGUUUUGGUAAAAAUAUUCUUAAACUAUUAAUUUUAUUACAUUUUACCUAAAAAGUGCACGAUGGCAAUAAAACAUGCUACUGUAUUUUUGGUAAAAUAAGACAAAAUUAACCAUUUAAAAAUCAUUUUGCAAAGAAGAGAAAAAAAAUUAACUCUUAGACACCUAAGUGAUAAAUACGAUAUAGUUGGAGGGUUAAUUUUGUAUUUAAUCCAAAAAAGAAAAGAACAGAUUUGACCUUGUCAUCUGCAAAUUUGAUCCAAAACAGAGCAACAGCUCUGUCAUAGGGAUCAGCCGGCAGCAAGAGAUUCUGCGGCCAAAUUUCAUCGAUAUAUUGAAGGAUGACGGUGGAUUCACAGAUCGGUUUUCCGUCAUGAACGAGCACCGGGACUUGCUUAUGAAUUGGAUUAUAUUGAAGAAGCAAAGGACUCUUGUUGCGGAGAUCUUCGUCAAUAUAUUCGUAAGGUAUGCCUUUGAGUUUCAGAGCCCAAAUUACUCUGUAACCGUACGGGCUAAAAAAAGAUCCGAACAAUUUCAGGACCGCCAUGGUUGGGAGAUUAGUUCAGAGAUUCUGAGAGCGCUGAGUGCAAAUUUAUAAUAGGAUUACUGGUCAAAGAUUUGUCUAAGGUAACGAUGGUGACUGUUUUUUUUCAUGACAUAAAAAAGAGAAAUUGACAAAAAUUGUAGGCCCUAAGAGUUAGAAUUUGUCACUAUAACUUUUUUAUACAAAGAUGAAGUAUUAUAAAAGAUUUUAUAUAAUAAUAUCAUGCAUGAUGCUAUAUAAGAUUUUAUAAAAUAUUUUAUAUAAUAAUAUAAGGUAAUGUGAUGCAUGAUGCAUCUUUAUUAAUUGUUUUUUUUUUAAUUUGAAUAAAUGUUUUUAGAAAUAAAUUAGUGGUUAGUUGAAUUGAUUAGGUCAUUAGUUCGUCGAUUUAAUAAGUUCGAUAAAGAUAUAAUAAUAAAUUCAUAAAAAAUAAUAUUUAAGAAAUCCAGUUCAACCGUCAAUUUAAUUGAUUUUAUAACCGGUUCAAUCGAUUCGAUGUUUUUUUUUUUGAAUCUAUAUUUCGACCUGUUUCCAGUUCAACCGAACAAUCUAUCCUAUUUAAACACAAGUAAACACCCCAAUAUAAUUGAAUAUAUAUGUUUUUUUAUAAUUAAUGUACCAUAUAUAUUAAUUUUACCCAUGUGUUGAUUUGAUGAUCAAGGUGUUCACCGUCUCAGAUGUGAUCUGGGUUCAAGUCACGCUAAUCGCGUUGCUGUUUAGGACUUUGCUCUCCUCUUAUAAUUCGCCAAAAAAAGAUCAUUUAUCUUUGAUGUUUUAGCAAACGUGUCAUCAUGUCGAGGGAGCAUUUGACUAGAAAAUCAAACCUUGCUAAUGUGUCGUCGAUAUGUAAUAAGAGAAAAAUAUUUUAGAAUUGUUUUAGAACUAACUACUACUUAAAUUAUUCGAAAAUUCUAUUUUAUUAUAUAUUAUAUGUGUAUGUAUGCUAACAUAUAUAAUAAACAAAAAUAAAUAAAAUAAGAUUACUUCUUUUUUUAUGCUUCUUACUCGUUGAAUUCUGUAAUAAUCCAAUUUUUUGUAGUGUUGGAAAGUAAAAUAUCGACACUUCAUUUCUAUAAAUCAAAUUCGUAAAAUUCAUUAUUAAAUCACACCCAACAAGUUUGAGACCUUAAGAAUUUGUGUAUUGAAUUCACUAUAUAAACCAAUGGUUAAAUUAUGCUAUUAAUUUGUGUAUUUUGCAAAAGUUGUGAAUUUAGUCCUUGUACUUUCGGAACGGUCAUAUUUAGUAUCUCUACUUUUCGAAUUUUGAAGUUUUAAUCCUCACCCGAACAGUAGUGGUUAGAUCCAUUUGGUUAAAUUCAAUUACUAGUCGCCAUGUGUACAAUUGUAUAUUUAGUCCAUAUUAUGCAAUUGAAUCAUUCUAAGUCCCUAUACUUUUUUUUAAUUCUGAAAUUUUGGUCUUCAUGCAAAUAACAAUUGUCAAUCUAUUAAUUAGAUUUCGAAUGAGUAAUAUGUAGAAAUAACAAGCUGAUAAAGCAUUACACAUAUGAUGAUAUAUUUAUCGCAUCAAAAUUUGAAAAUAACAUAACAUAACUUAAUGAAUUUAUCAAAAAUUGCAAGAAAUAAAAAUGACCAAUAACUUUUGUAAAAUAUACGGAUUAAUAGUAAAAUUUGACGUAAACUAUAAUAUUUGAUAAUAUUUUUUUAAUUAUCUAUAUAUAACUUAACCCAAGUAUAAUUUAGCUAGCUCUUAAUUACUUAUAUAAGUGAACAUAUAUGUAUAUAAAGCUUAAUAAAAGUUUAUAUUUGGUAAAGUUGGUUGGACAUGGUAGCAUAGUCUUCACACCUAGAAGAAGUGUCAAAUUGGUCUAUAAUCCCUAUUUCACCUAAUUAUGCUAAUAGCCUUUCUAUUUAGCAAUGAAAUCUUGAUUGAGCAUUGACAUAAUGAAAUAUUAAUCAUAGAUAUAAAUAGGAAUCUCAUGUGAAUCUACCUUACUCUUUGAUGAUAUUUCUUGAUAGAAUAAUUCACGUGAUUUUAUCUCCUUCUUACUUGAAAAAAACAUUAAAAUAGUUGUUUCUUCAUGUGGGAGACGGUGAAAGUGGUAAAGGCAAGGCGCAAGGUUGUGCUUGUGACAACCUUGGGGAAGAUUUCGGUAAGUUUCCUUGAAAUUUACACACUGACUCGUUUACUUAAUUGCCAGGUUGAAGUAAUUAAACUAAUUGGUGACUUCAAUUAAGUUUUCUGAAUUUUAUGAAUAAACUGUGAAUUAGCUGCUGUUGAUUUUGGGUAUGUAGCAAAUCAAACGUGUUGGAAAUUUGAAGAAAUGGUUGUCCAAACUGACUGGUGUUUUCAUCUGACAUAUCAAGAAAUGAUUGUCUAAAAUGGCUGCUGUUUCCAGAACUUAUUAUAUCUGAUAUUUAAGAAAUGGUUGUCCUUAAUGACCGUUGUUUUCAUAAUUUAUUAUGUCUGACAUACGAAGAAAUGGUUGUCUAAAAUAGCUGUUGUAUUAUGUGUGAGUUUAAUUCAUUUCUUCUGAAUAAAAUUCGAUUCGUUUUAAAAUUUUGAUAAAAAAAUUAAAAAUUUAAAUUAAAUAGUUUUAAUUAAUCGAAUUAUUUGGAUCAACUCGAAUAAAAAAAUUUAAAUUUUUGGUUUAAUUCGAAUAUGAACUCAAAUAUGAAUUACACAAUUCGAGUUAUUUGAAAAUUUAAAUAAAAAAUACAAAAUUACGUCAUUUUGAUAAAUAUUUACUUCCUCUAAAGUUAAAAGAUAAAAUUACAUUGUUUUGAUAAAUAUUUACCCAUCAGCCUUAUUUUCUUUCUCAUGUGAUAUGAUUACAAAUGUGAUAUGAAAGGAUUAUAUUCUUAUAAUAUAAGUUAACAUAUUAAAUUUGCUUACGAACUUUUGUUUUGUAUUUAUAUCCUCAAAUAAUUUGUGUUUUGUUAUAAUAUUAGUUAUAGAAAUGUCACUGAGUUGAUUACUCAGCAUUCGGUUUGCUUUCCGUGCGCAGGUUAGGUUCAAUUGUGUGCACUCAUUGUUAUCAGCAUCCAGCAGAAAAUCUCACACUCAUCGAGUUGGUGAAACUCUUACUAUUUUGGUUGGCAUGUACUUAUAGGUUUUUAUGUUAUAUUAAGCUUAGUUAGAGAAUUAUUUCAUACUUUGAGACAUAUAAAUAGACAAGUUAAUUAAUGACUUUGAAUUAUCUUACUAUAAACAAGGAAUCACUCGAAAAUUAAUUAAUGACUAUGAAUUAUUAUUUUAUUAAAUAAUUGAAUUUUGAGGUGAAAUUUUAUUACUAUUUCAUCGUGACAAGUUAAUUAAAUUAAUUUGUUCAUAGAUUUUUAUCGAUAAAGUUGUCAUGAGUUUAACGAAAUUAGAAUUGAGUUGAAAAAAUAAUUUAGUUAAUUUAAUUAAUUAAAAGAAUAAAAAAUAUUUCGAGCAUAAAAAAUAUUUAUUGGAAUAAAAAUUAUAUGAGUUGGUUUAAAAACAAAACAACCCAUAUAAUUAACCCGAUAAAUAAAAAAUGCCCAAAUAGACCCGAUAUAGGAGGGAGGGGAUGCAAACCAGUAUAGACCCAUUGAACUAGAUUUUUAUUGUUUUUUAAUCUUGAUGAUUUAUUUAAACGAACUAGACAGACCAAUUGAAACUAUUAGACCAACAAAUCAAUAACUUGUUAUGUUUGAAUUCUGAAAACGUUCGAUAAAGAACAUAAGUGUUCAGAUCCUCUCAAAUAUCGGAUUACAUCUUCAACCUUAUGUGGAACAUUUAACACUUCCAUGGGAGAAAAUACAAUCAAUGUUCCAAACCCUAAUUCGAUUUUGAUGUGAACAACAUCUCUUUACGACGCUUCAAGUAAGCAACACAAGUAAACACCCCAAUAUAAUUGAAUAUAUAUGUUUUUUUUAUAAUUAAUGUAUCAUAUAUAUUAAUUUUACUCAUGUGUUGAUUUGAUGAUCAGGGUGUUCACCGUCUCAGAUGUGAUCUGCGUUCAAGUCACGCUAAUCGCAUUGCUGUUAGGACUUUGCUCUCCCCUUAUAAAAAAAAAAGAUCAUUUAUCUUUGAUGUUUUAGCAAACGUGUCAUCAUGUCGAGGGAGCAUUUGACUAUAAAAUCAAACCGUGCUAAUGUGUCGUCGAUAUGUAAUAAGAGAAAAAUAUUUUAGAAUUGUUUUAGAACUAACUACUACUUAAAUUAUUCGAAAAUUCUAUUUUAUUAUAUAUUAUAUGUGUAUGUAUGCUAACAUAUAGAAUAAACAAAAAUAAAAUAAAAUAAGAUUACUUCUUUUUUCAUGUUUCUUACUCGUUGAAUUCUGUAAUAAUCCGAUUUUUUGUAGUGUUGGAAAGUGAAAUAUCGACACUUCAUUUCCGUAAAUCAAAUUCGUAAAAUUCAUUAUUAAAUCACACCCAACAAGUUUGAGACCUUAAGAAUUUUUUUUAAAAACUUUUGAAAUUUGCAUGUUAAAUAGUUGUUUCUUCAUGUGGGAGACGGUCAAAGUGGUAAAGUCAAGGAGCAAGCUUGUGCUUGUGACGGUCAAAUUCAUGUUUCCUUGAAAUUUAUACACUUACUCCUUUACUUAAUUCCCAGGUUGAAGUAAACUAGUUGGUGACUUCAAUUAAGUUGUCUGAAUUUUAUGAAUAAACUGUGAAUUAGCUGCUGUUGACUUCGGUAUGUAGCAAAGAAAACGUGUUGGAUAAAUGAAGAAAUGGUUGUCCAAAAUGACUGUUGUUUUCAUAAUAUAUUUUGUCUGACAUAUGAAGAUAUGAUUGUCUAAAAUGGCUGCUGUUUCCAGAACUUAUUAUGUCUGACAUUUAAGAAAUGGUUGUCCAAAACGGCCGUUGUUUUCAUAAUUUCCGACAUAUGAAGAAAUGGUUGUCUAAAAUGGCUGUUGUUCGGUUAUGGUGUGAGUUUAAUUCAUUUCUUUCUUCAAUAGUUGGUUGUAUUCUUAUGUUGGUAAGUGGGGUGAAUAAAAUUCAAUUCGAUUUUAAAAAUUUGAUAAAAAAUUUAAAUUUUAAAUUAAUCGAGUUAUUUGCAUCAACUCGAAUAAAAAAUCAAUUUUUUUGGUUUAAUUCGAAUAUGAACUCGAAUAUGAACUCGAAUAUUACACAAUUUCGAGUUAUCUGAAAAUCUAAAUAAAAAAUACAAAAUUACGUUGUUUUGAUAAAUAUUUACUCCCUUCAAAGUUAAAAGGCAAAAUUACGUUGUUUUAAUAAAUAUUUACCCAUCAUCCUUAUUUUCUUUCUCAAAUCCCCCACUUUCGCUUUUUCCUUUACUCAAAAGUAACUUAAAAGCUUGUACUUCAUCUAUUAGUUGAAUAAUCAGUCCAUGUAAACGCAAUAUUGAGUAUAAAUAAUAGGAUUCAUUAACUAGACUCGAAUUUUUUUUACUCGAUUCAUCUCAAUUUAAAAAAAAAUACUAAUUGAGUUCAGUUGCUAAAAUAGUAUUUAUCAACUUGACUAACUUUUUUUUUUUACUCUAUUGAAUGCUCACCUCUACUGGUAAGUGGGAUCAAAUUUGAAGGAAAAGUUUUAAUGAUUGUCAGUUGUUGAGUGAGCUGUCGUGACAUGCAAAACCCAUGCAUGCUGUCCGAAUAUGACUUAUUGUUAUGAAAUUAAUGUCCUGCCGGAGUUGAUUAAAUAUUAAUGUCCUAUGCUGCAAUUAAAAGAUGUCAUAGUGCUGUAUCGUGUUUAAAAUCUGAGUAUUUAUGUUGUCUUAAAACAUUAUCUGUAUGGAUUAAUUACUGUAAUUUAAACCGUUUUAAUAAUGAAAUCGUGAUAUCUUAAAGCACAAAUUGUGGUUAAAAUGUAUAAAUCUGGGAGUAAAUCGAGUUUUAUUUGUGGAAUGACAUGUUAUUUUAGAAGUACAAAUUGAGUGUUGCUAAUGGUGAGUUCUUUCAGUUUUUAUCAAUUUAAGUGUAAUGUUUAAUUGAAUUUUUGAGUUUACAGAUCGGGAAUUUGAAGGUGAAUAUGUGACAACCUGUUGAUACGAUUACAAAUGUGAUAUGAAAGGAUUAUAUUCUUAUAAUAUAAGUUAACGUAUUAAACUAUUUACGAACUUUUGAUUUUUAUUUAUGUCCUCAAAUAAUUUAUGUUUUGUUAUAAUAUUAGUUAUAGAAAUGUCACUGAGUUGAUUACUCAGCAUUGCAGGUUAGGUUCAAUUGUGUGCACUCAUUGUUAUCAGCAUCCAGCAGAAAAUCUCACACUUAUCGAGUUGGUGAAACUCUUAUAUUUUGGUUGGCAUGUACCUAUAGGUUUUUAUGUUAUAUUAAGCUUAGUUAGAGAAUUAUUUCAUACUUUGAGACGUAUAAAUAUACAAGUUAAUUAAUGACUUUGAAUUAUCUUACUAUAAACAAGGAAUCACUCGAAAAUUACUUAAUGACUUUGAAUUAUUAUUUUAUUAAAUAGUUGAAUUUCGAGGUGAAAUUUUAUUACUAGGUCAUCGUGACAAGUUAAUUAAAUUAAUUUGUUCAUAGAUUUUUAUCGGUAAAGUUGUCACGAGUUUAACAAAAUUAGAAUUGAGUUGAGAAAAUAAUUUAGUUAAUUUAAUUAAUUAAAAGAAUAAAAAAUAUUUCGAGCGUAAAAAAUAUUUAUUGGAAUAAAAAUUAUAUGAGUUGGUUUAAAAAACAAAACAACCCAUAUAAUUAACCCAAUAAAUAAAAAAUGCCCAAAUAGGUCCAAGUUAGACAUUGUUUGAUAAACCACUAAGCAAAUUUAAUCAAUUAAAAACUAAUAUUUUCAAUGAUUAGUAUUUUACACAUGUUUGAUAAUCCAAAAUAAAAAAUAAUCCAAUAGAAUUUUUUUCUAUAAAAAAGUGUGGAAAAUGAUGAGUAAAUAAAAUUUAAUUAUCACUUAAUGGAGAAUAUUUUCAAUAAACUCAAUUUUAUUUUAUUUAUUUUAAUAUUAUGUUAUCCUAUAAAAACUAAAUGUUUAAAAAUAUAAAAAGUCAAAAAUAUCUAUAUAAUCUUAUAAGUUACUUAGUAGAUUAAAUAUUUUUUUAGUAAUUUCCUAAAUUGGGACAUAGUUGGUGGGUGACACCGACUCAGUAAAAAGCUUAAUAAAUAACUAGAAAUUCUAUCACACAUGUAUGCAUAGAGUACCACAAAUUUCGAAUGCAAAUGUAUGUUUAAGAAAUUAGCGUACAAUAAAUAAUGAAAUAUAUGAUUUGAAACUAAUUAAUAAUAACAUGUGAAACAUAUUUGAUGUUAAAAUGAAAAAAUAAAUAAAAAGUUGUUUAUCAUUUUGUUGUCUUCAAUCUUAAGUCAGUGUCGAGUUAACUUGUGACAUCAACUCAGUUAAAAGCUUUAUUAAUAUUAACUAUAUAUACAACUGGUGGAGGUAAUAAAACGUGCGUAAUAAAAUAAAAAUGUAUAAAAUUAUCAAAAUAAAACUUUAGUUGAAUGGUAAAUUAAAAACUUUAAUAGUACAAUUGGCAUGGGUUUAAUUCCUACCAUUUUUUAAAGUGACAAGAAUAAAUUAACCUUGAAUAAUAUUACUUAUUUUAAUUACGUAAAGGCCUUCUCGUAAUUUCCUAACCGAGUUGGUGCCUAGUGACUUGUGACACCAACUUAGUCAGUGCUUUAUUAAUACUAGAAAUCCUAUUACACGCGUAUGCGUGUGGAAACUACAAAUUUAGAAUACAAAUGUGUGUUUAAAAAUAACAUACAAUAAAUAAUAAAAUGUAUAGGUUGACACUAAAUAAUAAUAAUAACACGUGAAAUUUGAAGAUAUUAAAAUGAAAAUGAAUAGAUUAAAAUUCGACUUUCUAAUAUGUUAAAAGAAAUGGGAAAGGUAUGAUAACAGAGGGAGAAACAAAAGAGAAUGGAAAAAAAGAGGAAAGUUUAAAGAACAUAAAAGAAAAAAAUUAAAUUACUUAAAAUGAAAAAAAUAUGGGGAUCAAUUGUAUAAUUUAACCUAAAAUUUUGUUUGAAAUGAUGAUUUAACGUGCCACAUCAGCUUACCGUUACACCAUUAACAACGAUUAAUGGCUCAGUGAGUAAAAUGUUACAACAUGAUAACGUAAAUGACUAAAACGUAACAUUUCAAACAUAAGUGACUAAAACGUAACCUAAGGUAAACAAAAAUGACCAUGGGUGUAGUUUACCCAUCUUAAAAAGACUGGUGAUCAAAUUCUACUCUUUUGAAAAAAAUUUAAUCCCAGAUGUAACUAAAAAAAAAAGAGAAAUUGACCAAAAUUUUUGGCCUUAAAAGUUAGAAUUUGUCGCUAAGACUUUUUUAUACAAAGAUGAAGCGAUAAUGUUAGGACUUUGUUCUCCUCUUAUAAUUCAAAAAAAAAAAGAUAAUUUAUCUUUGAUGUUUUAGAAACGUGUCAUCAUGUCGAGGGAGCAUUUGACUAUAAAAUCAAACCAUGCUAAUGUGUCGAUAAAUAAUAAGUGAAAAAUAUUUUAGAAUUGUUUUAGAAAAUUCUAUUUUUUUUUAUAUUAUAUAAGUUCAACCGUCAAAGAUAGCAAAUCAAACGUGUUGGAAAUUUGAUGAAAUGGUUGUCCAAAAUGACCGUUGUUUUCAUAAUUUAUUAUGUCUUGACAUAUGAAGAAAUGGUUGUCUAAAAUGGCUGUUGUUCGGUUAUGGUGUGAGUUUAAUUCAUUUCUUACUCUUGUGUUGGUAAGUUAGGUGAAUAAAAUUUGAUUCGAUUUCAAAAUUUUGAUAAAAAUUUUAAAUUUUAAAUUAAAUUGUUCGAAUUAAUCAAGUUAUUUGGACCAACUCGAAUAAAAAUCAAUUUUUUUGUUUAAUUCGAAUAUGAACUCGAAUAUGAAUUACACAAUUCGAGUUAUCUGAAAAUCUAAAUAAAAAACACAAAAUUAUGCCGUUUUGAUAAAUAUUUACUUCCUCUAAAGUUAAGAGGCAAAAUUACGUUAUUUUGAUAAAUAUUUACCCAUUAGCCUUAUUUUCUUUCUCGAAUCCCCCCACUUUCCCUUUUUCCUUUAAUAAAAUUAACCUAAAAGUUUGUACUUCGUCUACUAGUUAAAUAAUCAGUCCAUGUAAACACAAUAUUGAAUAUAAAUAAUAGGAUUUGUUAACUCGACUCGACUUGACUCAAAAUUUUUUUUACUCGAUUCGACUCAAUUUUAAAAAAAAAGUACAAAUUGAGUUCAAUUGCUAAAAUAGUAUUCAUCAACUUGGCUAACUUAAAUUUUUUUACUCUAUUGAAUGCUCACCUCUACUGGUAAGGAUGAAAAUUGAGGGAAAAAUUUUGAUGAUUGUCAGUAGUUGAGUGAGUUGUCUGUGACAUGCAAAACCCAUGCAUGUUGUUCGAAUAUGACUUAUUGUUAUGAAAAACCUGGCUCUGAUACAAUGUUAAGAUGAUAAAAGAAAUAUGAAGAAUAUUUUCUACGUUUAUGAUUAUCUUUACAAAUGAAUAGAGCUACAGAAUAUAUACAGCUAAUGUGUAACUAAUUACAUUGCUAAUUACACUAUACAGCUCACUACUUUAACUAACUGUACACAAAUAACUAAUUUAGUUUUUUUCUACAAAGAUGUCAUAGUGCUGUAUCGUACGUGUUUAAAAUGUGAGUAUUUAUGUUGUCUUAAAACAUUAUUUGUAUGGAUUAAUUACUGUAAUUUAAACCGUCUUUAUAAUGAAAUUGUGAUAUCUUAAAGCAGUAAAUUGAGAGGAGUUUAUCGUGCUUUGGUGCCGUGGUUAAAAUGUAUAACUCUGGGAGUAAAUCGAGUUUUAUUUCUGGAAUAACAUGUUAUUUUAGAAGUACAAAUUGAGUGUUUCUAAUGGUGAGUUCUUUCAGUUUUUAUUGAUUUAUGUGUAAUGUUUAAUUGAAUUUUUUAGUUUACAGGUCGGGAAUUUGAAGAUGGAUAUAUAACAACCAGUUGAUAUGAUGACAAAUGUGAUAUGAAAGUAUUAUGUUCUUAUAAUAUAAGUUAACAUAUUAAUCUGCUUACGAACUUUUGAUUUUUAUUUAUGUCCUCACAUAAUUUAUGUUUUGUUACUAUAUUAGUUAUAGAAAUGUCACUGAGUUGAUUACUCAACAUUCGUGUUUGCUUUCCGUGCACAGGUUAGAUUCAAUUGUGUGCACUCAUUGUUAUCAGCAUCUAGCAGAAAAUCUUGCACUCAUCGAGUUGGUGAAACUCUUACUAUUUUAGUUGGCAUGUACCUAUAAGUUUUUAUGUUAUAUUAAGCUUCGUUAGAGAAUUGUUUCAUACUUUGAGACGUAUAAAUAGACAAGUACUUAAUUAAUGACUUUGAAUUAUCUUACUAUAAAAAAGGAAUCACUCAAAAAUUAAUUAAUGACUUGGAAUUAUUAUUUUAUUAAAUAAUUGAAUUUCGAGGUGAAAUUUUAUUACUAAUUCGUCGUGGUUUCAUAAGGACAAGUUAAUUGAAUUAAUUUGUUCAUAGAUUUUUAUCAGUAAAGUCGUCAUUAGUUUAACGAAAUUAGAAUUGAGUUGAGAAAAUAAUUUAAUUAAUUUAAUUAAUUAAAAGAAUAAAAAAUGUUUUGAGCAUAAAAAAUAUUUAUUGAAAUAAAAAUUAUAUGAGUUGGUUUAAAAACAAAACAACCCAUAUAAUUAACCUGACAAAUAAAAAUGCCCAAAUAGACCCGAUAAAGAUUGAUGAUCAAAUUCGACUCUUUUCAAAAAAAAAUAAUCCCAAUUUUAACUAAAAAAAGAGAAAUUGACAAAAAUUGUAGCCCUAAAAGUUAUGAAUUUAUCACUAAGAUAUUUUUUUUAUACAAAUAUGAAGUAUUAUUAAAGAUUUUAUAUAAUAAUAUAAGGUAAUGUCAUGCAUGAUGCAUCUUUAUUAAUUGUUUUUUUUAAUUUGAAUAAAUGUUUUUAGAAAUAAAUUAGUGGCUGGUUGAAUUGAUUAGGUCAUUAAUUCGUCGAUUUGAUAAGUUCGAUAAAGAUAUAAUAAUAAAUUCAUAAAAAAAAUAUUUAAGAAAUCCAAUUCAACAGUCAAUUUAAUUGAUUUUUUAACAGGUUCAAUCGAUUUGAUAUUUUUUUUAAAUUUAUAUUUUGACCUAUUUCCGGUCCAACCGAACAAUCCAAUCCUAUUUAAACACAAGUAAAAACCCCAUAUAUAAUUUUGAACCCCAUAUAUAAUUGAAUAUAUAUGUUCUUUUUUAUGAUUAAGGUAUCAUAUAUAUUUAUUUUACCCGUGUGUUGAUUUGAUGAUCGAGGUGUUCACCAUCUCAGAUGUGAUUUGGGUUCAAGUCAUGCUAAUCUUGUUGUUGUUAAGACUUUGCUCUCCUCUUACAAUUCACCAAAAAAAGAUAAUAUAUCUUUGAUGCAUCCACGUUGCCAAACUUUGUUGUUGGUAUGUGGAUUUCCAUCCUUUCAUGUUGCCAUAUUCUUUGACUUUAACCUUCUUGCAUAUUGUUGAGAUUCAUUGCUUUAAUUUCAUCUAAAUGCAAUGAGUCAGAUGAAAGUCUUGGUGAGUUACAAGCUUCCCACGUGCUUCUGAUUUGUUCCAGAAUGUGAGAUGGAUAAUCUUCAAAUUCUAUAUCAGCUAUCUUUUUUAAUAGCUUCAAAGAUUCUUCAUCUCUUUCUUCCUAGGUGUUUCCAGUGUAGUAUGCCAGUAUUCUUCUGCCAUCAGUCCAUAGAUGAUAAUUUUUUUGCUGGAAAAGAUCUUGGGCUGUUGCUAUUAUAUCAAUCCCUACUUGGGUUUGAUAAUAACUUGGAUCAUUAUAACACCUGUCAAUAUUUUUUGUCAAGUGUUCUUUGACCUCUUUUAUAGCGGAUAAUCAGGGACUUCCAAUUAUUCUUUGAAUAAUCCAUAUUUGAUAUGGCUGAUAAAAUUUUUCUUUUUCAGCUAUACCAAUUAAACUACUUAUUUCAAUAUGAAAAUAGUAGAAGAAAUCAUCAUUGUUUAUGAUGUUUUGUAAUUUAGAUUUUACCAUUGCUGGAAAAUCUUUUAAAUGAUGAAAAGAAAAGUUUUGUACAACUAUUUCUUUUACAAAACCCCAUUCAAUACUUGUUAUAUCGAACGGUUCGUGAUCCAAUCUAAAUUUUAUAGUUGGAAAACUUUCUCCUAUAAAAUUGGUAAAAACAUAAGAUUAUAGAAAAUAUUCAGAAAAAGAUUUUUCAAAUUGUCUACUGGUUGUAGAUAACUCUAUUUAUUUUAGAAAAUAUUUCUAGAGGUAAAAUCUGUCUAGAUUUAUUAUAUAAAUAGAUCCUAAAUACCUUAUUCACAAUAGGACUGUUUUUCCCUUUAUGAAUAAAAUAUUAAAUUAUAUCAAGAAGAUUAUUUAUCUCCUUAAUAUCCAUAAUAAAGAGUUGGAAUUCAUCCCAAUCUAUGUAUAAAAUAGAUUUUAAUAAUAAAUCUUCAGCUUCAUUUUCCUUAGUUGUUUUUUCAACUUAAAGUAAUGAAAAUGGUGUAAGAGCUCUCCUGAAAUUUGCUCUUUGAUUUAAAAUAUGGGUUUUCCAUAUUUCGUUUAUAAAAUUAUAAAAUUCUGGCGGUAUACCAGGACUAAAAAAAUCUUUUAUUUCUGGAAAUUGUUGUUGUUUCAACAAAUUUUCUGCAUCCUUAAUAAUAUCAGCAUAACUGGUUUGAAAUGCCGAAUUUGGAUCUUGGAACCAUUGUGAUUGACUUACUGUUUUUGGUGUCAAUGACAAACAAGUUCCAAUUGGUUGAUUUACCAUUGGAUAUGGCACAUAAUGUCCUUGAUUAGGAUAAAAUGAUAUUUGUGCAGGUACAAAUCCUUGUUUGGAAUUUGUUGUUGUUUUCCCUUUGUUAGGCUUUUUGUGAAUGGUAGUCCAUGUAGCGACCUAAAAAUUUGGAUACGAUGGCACGGGCGCUAGUCGAAAUAAUUAUUGAAAAAUUAAAAACAUCGUCUCGAUUUUAUUUGCAAAAGGAGUUGCCACCGAUCUUUUUUAGGUGUGAUCGGACACCUAAUAAAUUCUCUUUUUAGAAGAAAUAUUUAUUUUUAAAUUUUCCUAAAAAGAGGUAAUUUUAGGUCUGCGUGAAAAUCCAAAGAAAAUUAGGGUUCGGGAGUCGGUUAUCGCGAGGAAGGUAUUAGCACCCUCGCGACGCCCAAAAUUGGUAUCUCGUUAAACGCGCGUUUUCUUAAUUUUCAAAAAUACAAGUUCAAUUUAAUAUUUAAUUGUGAUCCGAUUGAAACUUGAGAAAACCUUUUUUUUUGUUUUUAAACACGAGAACUUUGAAACACAAUAAUAAUUUUUGAAAACACGAAGAUUUUUGAAACACGAAAUUUUUUUGACACGAAAAAUUUUGAAAACACGAAAAUUUCGAAAACUUGAAUUUUUUUUUAAACAUGAUUUUUUUUUAAAAAACACGAGAAUUUUUUGAAAACACGAAAGCACGAAAAUUUUGAAAACACGGGAAUUUUUUUAAAACACGAAAAUUUUUGAAACAUGAGAAUUUUUUGACACGAAAAUUUCGAAAACAUGAAUUUUUUUUAAAAUACGAAUUUUUUUAAAAAACAUGAAAACAUGAAAAUUUUGAAAACACGAAAAUUUUUGAAACAUGAGAAUUUUUUGAAAACACGAAAAAAUUUUUAAACAUGGGAAUUUUUGAAAACACGGAAAUUUUAAAACAUGGAAACUUUAAAAACACGAAUUUUUUUUUAAAACACAAGAUUUUUAUUUUUUUAUUUUUUUAAAUACCGUAUUUAACACGAACCGGUGACAUUCACCCCGUUAUGGCGAUGAAACCAUCGAAUUAGUGUUAACUCAAUUCAAUUUAAUAUUUAAUCGGGAUUCUAAUAAAACACGAGAAUUUUUAUUAAAAUACGAGGAUUUUUGAAUAUUUUUAUUUUUAAAAGGGCGUCCCGAAUUUAACACGAGCUAUCGAUAUCCACCCAACAUAGCGAUAAAUUUGAUGACUCGAUGCUAAAUCGGUUCGUUGCCUUAUGCAUUAAAAUAUUAUUUUUUUUAAAAUAUGCAAUUAAAAUGACAUAAUAAUAUUUAUGAAAACUAUUUUUAAACAUACUAAUUUAAAUUAAAUAAAACACCAUUUAAAUACAUUAAAUAAAAUAAAAUAGAUUAAAAAGAAAAAAAAAUUACCCAAAAAGGCCCUUUUCCUUUUUUUCGGUUUGGGCCUCAGUUGGCCCGCUUCACUGCUGCAAUCGGCCCGCUGGAGCUGCUGGGGUAUUGGGCCUGCACUGGGUCAAGUCCAUUGCCCCCCCGACUGCUGGUGGCUUACCAAAACCCCGCUGCUGUUUUUAUUUUUUUAUUACUUUUUUCUCUCUUUUUCUUCCUCUUUUUUUCUUCUUCUCUUCUUCUUGUCUCAAAGCCUUGGCCCUUCUUUUUCACCGCCGUCGAUGUCUCCUGGGUGCGGUGGUUGGACGUUCGCCGGCGUUCUCCUUUCCCUCCUCUCUUCUUCUUCUUUCUUCACUUCUUUCUACUUUACUUUUUGUUUUUGCUUGCUUGCUGCUAUUUUCCUUUCUUUUGUUUAUGCUUGCACAUUUCUUAGCUUGACUUCGGCGAGGAGCAACGAUGAUCGUUGCACGGCGAUCGUGGUGGCGUGGGUACGGUGGCGGUGAGCGUGGGAUCGGCCCAUGGGAGUAUUUUUUGCUGCUGGAAUUUUCUGCUAUUUUUUUUGCUUUGGUUGCCGAAAAUCCUCCUCCCUUCUCUUCAAUUUUUUCUUUUUAAAAGCUCCAAAUUUUGUCCUCUUUCUCAUUGUUUGCAGGUGGCAGAGGAGCCAUGAUGGCCUAGGGGGGCUGCUGGAGUAGCUCGGCUGGGAGGGGUACGCUCGGCUGGUGCAGCGGCGAUUAGACAAGUCCAGAAGGACUAAAUUGCAUAGGAUGCAAAGCUUCUGGGGCAAAAGUGUAAUUUUAGCAAAAAUAUGGGCCAAAAUGUAAUUUCUUGAGAGUUUAGGGGUCAAAGUGAAUUUUUGAGAAAGUCUAAGGGUCAAAAUGUAAUUUUAGAAAGUUUUGGGUCAAAAUGUAAAUUUUAGAAAAGUUUAGGGUUAAAAUGUAAAUUUUGAAAAGUACAGGGGUUAAAUGAAAAAAUAAAAAAUUCUUUUUUUUUCAAACACGAAAUUAAUCUCGGACAAAAUUCAGUGAUUACAGCUGCCCCUCUUUGCUCAUCGCUAUGAAACAGGGAUAGAGCAAAGACUAAAAAGCACUGAAUUUUGUUCGACCAUCUAAAAUUUUCCUCUUUAUUUGAAAAGCAGAAAUCGAGAACAGCUCGGCGUGCGACCCGAGACUCAACUCACCUCUUGAAUUAUGAGUUGAUCUUCGAAAAACAAAAAUCGAAAAUACCUCGACAUGUGCCCCGAGGCUCAACUCACCUCUCGCAAUAUGAGUUGAUUUUUGAAAAACAUGAAUUGAAAAAUACCUCUGCGUGACCCGAGGCUCAACUCACCUCUCGCAAUAUGAGUUGAUUUUUUGAAAAACAUAAAUUUAAAAGAAAUACCUCGGCAUGGUCCAAGGCUCAACUCACCUCUCGCAAUAUGAGUUGAUUUUUUUGAAAAACAUAAAUUNNNNNNNNNNNNNNNNNNNNNNNNNNNNNNNNNNNNNNNNNNNNNNNNNNNNNNNNNNNNNNNNNNNNNNNNNNNNNNNNNNNNNNNNNNNNNNNNNNNNUGAAGUAAACAAAAUUAAAAAAAAUACCUCAGCGUGACCCGAGGCUCAACUCACCUCUGUAUUAUGAGUUGAUUUCUUGCAAAAAACAGAAUUUUAAAAAUAUUUCUUGAAAGAAACAAGGUUUCAAAAAACAUCAGGUGAAACUAAAAGCCUUCAUCUUCACUGAUUCUGUGCAGCUUUCUCCUAGUAUUCCUUGCUCUACCGGUAUACCUGUAUACGUCAUGUAUGAUGUUAUUACGAUAUGCACAUGUUUGUCCUAAAUGCUUUUGUGUCUACAUGAUCAUGCAAUGCACCGUAGGCUAUUUGUCACGUGCCCCACUUUUGAUUUUUGUGAGGGUCCGCAUUCAUUUCCUCAAUUCUUGACUUUUCUCUCUAAUUUUGUACUCAUCCUCAAGUUCUGUGAGUAAUCUACAUUUCUUCGUAUAUCGCUCUCUUGCCCCCUGCUGAACAUUGUUCCUACUUUGGGGCCCUUAUAUUUAUCAAAUUCUCAUCCAGGUAAUGCUCAACAUUCCUUUUGUUUAGAGUAUGUCAUCUUACUAUUUAUCAUUUAAAUGAAUCAAACACAAGAUGCAUGACAAAAGUGGCAAAGUAGGCAUGAAAGAAAUACCUCACAUUCAUUUUUUAAAGCAACGAAAGAAAUUGACAAGGAAAGUUCAACAAAUAAAUUGUCAUAAAGAAAAGAAAGCGAAUUCAAUGGCCAGAAAUGCUCUAGAUAUCCAAUGCAUGAACUUUCCACGUUUCUUCAUCCUGGAUCUUUUCGAGCACGGCUUCUUGUGUAGAAGAUUUUGAGCUUCUGAGAAUGCUUCAAAUAUUGUAACCUUGCCAUUCGACUCCCUGUUCAAGUCGCCUUGCUCCUUAAGUCCGAGCCCACUUUGUUAGGACGCCCUUUUGGGUUUUCAUCCUAAUCUUUUUUGUUUAUCAAGACGCCCUUUUUGGGUUUUCAUCUUGAUUUUUCUUUUUCUUUUCUUUGUUUUUUUUGUUUUUAUUUUUGUUUUUGUUUUUUUAUUUUUUUUGUCCCUUUUUUUAAGCAUAAUAUUUCUUCACAGCAUCUGAGUUCACUGGAUUAGGUAAUUCUUUCCCAUCCAUUUCAGUAAGAAUCAGAGCCCCUCUUGAGAAUGCCUUUUUUACAACGUAUGGUCCUUCCCAAUUUGGUGACCAUUUUCCUUGAAAGUCCUUUUGUAUCAGGAGGAUCUUUCUUAAAACGAGUUCCCCUUCGCGAAAUUCUCUUGGUCGCACAUUAUUAUCAUGGGCCGUGAUCAUUCUCUCCUGGUACAUCUGUCCAUGACAAAUUGCCUUCAAGCAUUUCCCUUCAAUAAGGUUUAGCUGGUCAUAUCGAACUCGAACCCAUUUCGAUUCUUCUAAUUUUGUCUCCAUCAUGACUCACAAGGAUGAGAUCUCUACUUCAAUAGGCAAAACGGCUUCCAUUCCGUAGACUAAUGAGAAAGGACUUGCUCUCGUAGAUGUCCGCACGGAGGUGCGGUACGCAUACAAAGCUAAUGGUAGCUUCUCGUGCCAAUCUUUAUAUGUCUCACUCAUCUUUCCGAGAAUCCUCUUAAUGUUUUUGUUGGCCGCUUCAACAGCUCCGUUCAUUUUCGGGCGAUAGUGUGAGGAAUUAUGAUGUUUUAUCUUGAAUUGCUCGCACAUUUCUUUCAUCAUUUUGUUGUUCAAAUUUAAAGCAUUAUCUGAGAUGAUUCUUUCAGGCAGACUAUGUCGACAUAUGAUUUCCUUUUUUAAGAACCUACAGACCGUAGCCUUCGUCAUAUUAGCAAACGAAGUGGCUUCUACCCAUUUUGUGAAGUAGUCUAUAACCACAAAGAUGAAUCGAUGUCCAUUGGAAGCUUUCGGGGAAAUCGGCCCUAUAACAUCCAUGCCCCACAUAGAAAAGGGCCACGGAGAAGUCAUGACAUAAAGGGGCGAUGGAGCUGCAUGAAUUUUAUCGCCAUAAAUUUGACACUUAUGACACUUUCGUGCGUAGCCAAUGCAAUCCCUUUCCAUCGUCAACCAAUAAUAACCAAGUCUCAUAAUCUGUCUAGCCAUGGUGAAACCACUAGCAUGCGUUCCACAAAUUCCCUCCUGAACCUCCUCAAGUAUCUUUCUAGCUUCAACAGUGUCCACACAUCUCAUGAGCACUUGAUCUUUCCCUCUUUUGUAUAGAAUAUCCCCGUCAAGAACAAAUCCAAUCGCCAUUCUUCUGAUUGUUCUUUUAUCAUUCUCGUUUGCUUGCUCGGGGUACCUUUGAUUCUUGAUGUACUCUAGGAUAUCAUGGAACCAUGGUCGUCCAUCGGACUUAUUCUCAUACUCAUGCUCGAGAUAUCGCGCUCCCCUUUACUGACUCUUGGCUCUCAUAUACAAUGUCAUACUCAGACAAUAGGAUCUGCCAUCGUGCCAUUCUCCCUCAUAUUCUGUGAACUUUUUACUGAGGCAGUAAAUUAUCUUUUCUCUUUUUCCUGACUCAUCAUGUUGCCCCAGCAUUCUUCAAUUCAAAUGGCAUCACUUUGUAGCAGAACGUUUCCCAUAUUGUGACGAAUGUGGUUUUCUCCAUAUAUUCGGAAGCCAUCUUUAUCUGAUUAUAACCUGAGAAACUAUCCAUGAAAGAAAAUGAAUAAUGUUUUGUCGUGUUAUCCUGGCAUGUCUUGAUACGACCAAACAAAUAUAUCUUUGUACUCACGGAGCAAGGCGAUUAAAUUCUGUUUGGUGUUCUCCGAAACGGAAGUCCUAAUCUUCAGUUCUUGUUUCUUUUCUUCACUCCCUAAGUUCACUGUCUCAACAGAUUCUUGAUGAGGUAAAAUCUGUUUCUCUUCUUGUUCAACUAUUCUCUGUAAGUCAGGAGGCAGGUCACAAUUUUCAGCAUCUUCCUUGGCUUCGAAUUCUCCUAAACAAAUAGCCUUCUUGAAAUUAAUUUCAGGAUUUGUAACGGGAUUAUUCCUGCCAUAGAUAUCUGAGCACCUAAAAGAUGGGUAGAAAAGACAGCUAUAGAGGAGUAUCAAAGUAUUAGAAUCAACACUCAAUGAUAUGAUAUGGUAUGAAAUACAUAUAGGAGAAUGAUGUGAAGAGAAGUGAUAGUUACGAGACUAGUAGAAAUAAAAAGACCAUGACAAAAUGCAUCUUCAUCGAUGUUCAUUGAAAUGAUAAAGAGCAAGCAUAUGCUCUUACAAAAGGAAUCCCACUAUCUAGGGAUAUACAAAAUAAUGGAGAAUUAUCAUUGAGCAUUACUCUAGAGGGGAAUCAAAAACUACAAGGAGGUCCACAGAAGUCUAAUUGUUCAAAACAUAUCCUGGAGGACAAUGGCGUAUCAUUGAAACAUCCCCAAUUGCAUCACCCUCGUUGUCAACAACAUUUAUGCUGAUGUUCUAAAAUCCCUUUUCAUUUAAGGCGCUUCGCAGAUUGUUUUGCCCCUCAUCUUCAUUCGUUACCGAAUUCACAUUCCCAUCAGCAUGGUUAGGAAAAGGGCUUCCAGCCUCAUUACUAACACUAUCAAAUCGUAAAAUGCCCGCAUUGAUAAGAUCUUGAACCCUCCUUUUAAAGGCAAGGCAAUUUUCUGUAGAAUGCCCCUGAUUUCCAGCGUGAUACAUGCAACUAGCAUUAGGAUCAUACCAUUUUGGGUAUGGAGGCUUCAGGGGUGCCAUGUAAUGUGGUGAUAUUAAUUGAUUCUCUAAUAGUUUCGGGUAUAAUUCUCUAUAUGACACAGGAAUUGGGGUGAACUGAGGUCUCUCAGGAUUAGAUCUUGCUGGUCUUGCUCAUUUUUGGGUUGGCUUUGUGUGGGCAUGGUAUUUGGUGGGAACAUGGUGAACGGUCUUUGGUUGUUCAUGGCAUAAACGGGGUAAAGAGGAGGUGUUUGACAAUAAGGACUUUGGGAGGGAAAGUAGAAGUUUGAAGGCGGGCGAUAACGAGUUCGUGGUUGGGCUGGAUGCGGAUUGGAGGUAUAGUGGCUCUCAGUUCCGACCAUAUGGGUUUCUGCCUCUUUAUUCCUUACAGGUACUGUCUUUUUUGAACUUUCAGGGCCUUCCAUCCUCCCAUUCUUGAUGGCGUUUUCUAUAAGCUCCCCAGAUAUUACAAUGUCCUUUGUGGCACUUCCUACCAACUUAUCGUAAAAUGACACUUUCAGAGUAUUAAUGAAGAGGACCGUUAUCUCCGUCUUAGUUAACGGGGGUUCCACCUGAGCUGAGAUAUCCCUCCAUCUUUGUGCGUAUUGUCUAAAGGUCUCUGUCGGCUUUUUUUCCAUCAUUUGCAAAGUUAGUCGAUCAGGCACCAUAUCUGAUACAUGCUUGUAUUGCUCACAGAAUGCUGAUGCUAAGUCCUUCCAUGAUCGGAUCCUCUCUCUGCUGAGCUGAUUAUACCAUCGAAGAGCCGAUCCAACUAAACUGUCCUGAAAACAGUGUAUCAGCAAUUUAUCCUCAUUCACGUAAUCAGUCAUCUUCCGACAAAACAUGACGAGAUGCGCCUUUGGACAUCGCGUCCCAUCAUACUUUUCAAAAUCUGGUGCCUUGAAUUUUGAGGGUAGAACCAGAUCGGGCACCAGACUGAGUUCUUUAGCACUCAAAGCAGAGAAGACUUCAGCACCUUCUAUUGCCUUGAGCCUUUCUUCUAAAAUCUGGUAUCUAUCUUGACCGUCAUAAUCAUUAGUUUUCAAUUUUGCUAUUUCCACAGGAUCGUCCAGAUCUGGAACAAAUGGAUAUGCUGGAUUAACCCCGGAGUUCGAUACCAACAUACCUUGCCCCAAAUGAGCAGAUGGUGCAGGACGUUGUUCCAGGAUUGUAUGGGCGUGAGGUGGAGUAAAUCCUGGGGGAUAGAGUGGAUCCUGAUCAUUAUUAGCUCUUGACUAGGGCUCCAUGAUAUCAUGGCUCUGCAUGGGUCCCUUUCCUUUUACUAAAGCUGUCGUCAUUUCCAUCAUUUUAGCCAUUUGGUCUCUUUGCUCGAGUGAUUCUUCUCGAGAUCUCACCAUCAUAUCUGUUGCCUCUUAUUGUGACUUGGCCAAUUGCUCUUGUAACUCUCUUUGGACCCUUUCCAUCCUUUCGAUUUUUUCGUUAAGUUCAGCGUCCAUAGCUCUAGUUCUUAGACGUGUCCUGUAAAGAUGAUGUGAUUCCAGCCUUGUAGUACCGCCACUGUGGAUUAUGCGAUUUUUGCCUCAGUGAAUGGUAAGGGUGAUAUGUACAUGCAAUGCAUGAAUGAAUGAAUGACAAGUGAAUAUUAGUCAUGAAUAAAUAUACAAGUAUUUGGUGUUGAUUUCAAGACAGCCCCAUAUUUUGGCGUUUCAUUAAUCAAAAGAGUCCAUUACAAAAGAUUUGGCCAAUGAAGAUACCCCUAGUGCCUGAGUCUCAUUGUUUCCAAAUCCUAAUCAAGUAUUCGCGGUUAUUCUGACGAUGCUUUUUGGGUCCUCAAAGAUCAGUCUCAGACUAUAACAUUUUCCUCAAUUACUUGCGUAAUUGAUUCCUCCAUCAAAAACCCGUUUUUGGCAACCAAUCUCUAAUCAACACCAUCCUAAUGAGAUGCCUAUGAUGCAUGAUGAAAAAUAAAAUUAAGACAAAUAAACCUAGUUAGCAAUCACGGCAAAUAUAAACAAAGAAAAACUAUGGAAAAUCUAACAAACCGACCUAUUUUUUUUUUGUUUUAUCCCAUCAUGCUUUACAAAAAUAAACUUACCCCAUAUGCUCAUCAAUCUACCCGAUCAAAUUUAUUAAACAGACCAAAUUCCCUUGCAAAAAGUGUAAAUGUGAAAGAAAUAAAAGGUAAGAGGCGUUUCUCCCGUGUAUUUAUUUUGGUGACUAUUCAUCGGACAGAGGUUCGGCAUGACUCUAAUUGGGUGGCUCGUACGGUUCACUAUAUGUGGCUUUGGUUCUAGAGAGGUACUCGAAUUGUCCAUACUGUCACCUACUAAGGUUAGUACGAAGUCUCGGUUAUCGCCCGUCAUGGGCUUGCGAGCUCAAUUCUAGGGAUUACAUUUACUUAUGCCUAUGCGGAGGGACGAGUUAACUCACGAAAACAUAAGUCAUAUGUAACCCGGAAGUAUUUCACUAGCCUGUGCGGAGGGACGAGUUAACUCACGAAGGCGUAGCGUUUACUUCCACUUAAACGGAUGGAGCCCGGGUAGAGAGCUCAUGUUAUGCAAGAAUGCAAGUGCAUGGUGUGUGGGGAGAAACUCACAAACCUUUUUAUUUUUAUUUUUACUAAAAAAACAAACUAAAACCAUAAAACUUAAAGCUGAAAAAAAACACGAAAAUAAAACAGGUUAGAAAAAUAUUAAUUUCAAAACCGGAUGUAGAUGCAUGAUUUUUCAAAACAAAAUUCAAGGAUCACGAUUAAAAAUUAAAUUGAACAAGAAAUUUUAAAAAUUUUGACAACACGCGUUUAACAUCAGACUCGACUCUAAAAAAAAUGUCCCCAGCGGAGUCGCCAGCUGUAGCGAUCUAAAAAUUUGGGUACGAUGGCACGGGCGCUAGUCGAAAUAAUUAUUGAAAAAUUAAAAACGUCUCGAUUUUAUUUGCAAAAGGAGUCGCCACCGAUCUAUUUUAAGUGUGAUCGAACACCUAAUAAAUUCUCUUUUUAGAAGAAAAAUUUAUUUUUAAAUUUUCCUAAAAAAGAGGUAAUUUUAGGUCUGCGUGAAAAUCCAGAGAAAAUUAGGGUUCGGGAGUCGGUUACGCGCGAGGAAGGUAUUAGCACCCUCGCGACGCCCAAAAUUGGUAUCUCGUUAAACGCGCGUUGUCUUAAUUUUCAAAAAUACAAGUUCAAUUUAAUAUUUAAUUGUGAUCCGAUUGAAACUUGAGAAAACCUUUUUUUUUGUUUUUAAACACGAGAACUUUGAAACACAAUAAUAAUUUUUGAAAACACGAAGAUUUUUGAAACACGAAAUUUUUUUGAAAACACGGAUUUUUUUUUGAAAAUAAGGAAAUUUUCGAUACAUGAGAAUUUUUUGACACGAAAAAUUUUGAAAACACGAAAAUUUCGAAAACUUGAAUUUUUUUUUAAACAUGAAUUUUUUUUUAAAAAACACAAGAAUUUUUUGAAAACACGAAAGCAUGAAAAUUUUGAAAACACGGGAAUUUUUUUAAAACACGAAAAUUUUUGAAACAUGAGAAUUUUUUGACACGAAAAUUUCGAAAACAUGAAUUUUUUUUAAAAUACGAAUUUUUUUAAAAACACGAGAAUUUUUUUGAAAACACGAAAACAUGAAAAUUUUGAAAACACAAAAAUUUUUGAAACAUGAGAAUUUUUUGAAAACACGAAAACACGAAAAAAAAUUUAAACACGGGAAUUUUUGAAAACAAGAAAUUUUUUUUUAAAAACACGGAAAUUUUAAAACAUGGAAACUUUAAAAACACGAAAUUUUUUUUUAAAACACAAGAUUUUUAUUUUUUUUAUUUUUUUAAAUACCGUAUUUAACACGAAUCGGUGACAUUCACCCCGUUAUGGCGAUGAAACCAUCGAAUUAGUGUUAACUCAAUUCAAUUUAAUAUUUAAUCGGGAUUCUAAUAAAACACGAGAAUUUUUAUUAAAAUACGAGGAUUUUUGAAUAUUUUUAUUUUUAAAAGGGCGUCCCGAAUUUAACACGAGCUAUCGAUAUCCACCCAACAUAGCAAUGAAUUUGAUGACUCGAUGCUAAAUUGGUUCGUUGCCUUAUGCAUUAAAAUAUUAUUAUUAUUAUUUUUUAAAUAUGCAAUUAAAAUGACAUAAUAAUAUUUAUGAAAACUAUUUUUAAACAUACUAAUUUAAAUUAAAUAAAACACCAUUUAAAUACAUUAAAUAAAAUAAAAUAGAUUAAAAAGAAAAAAAAUUACCCAAAAAGGCCCUUUUCCUUUUUUUCGGUUUGGGCCUCAGUUGGCCCGCUUCACUGCUGCAAUCGGCCCGCUGGAGCUGCUGGGGUAUUGGGCCUGCACUGGGUCAAGUCCAUUGGUGGUGGACUGCUGGUGGCUUACCAAAAAUGGGCUGCUGUUUUUAUUUUUUUAUUACUUUUUUCUCUCUUUUUCUUCCUCUUUUUUUCUUCUUCUCUUCUUCUUGUCUCAAAGCCUUGGCCCUUCUUUUUCACCGCCGUCGGUGUCUCCUGGGUGCGGUGGUUGGACGGUCGCCGGCGUUCUCCUUUCCCUCCUCUCUUCUUCUUCUUUCUUCACUUCUUUCUACUUUACUUUUUUUUUUGCUUGCUUGCUGCUAUUUUCCUUUCUUUUGUUUAUGCUUGCACAUUUCUUAGCUUGACUUCGGCGAGGAGCAACGAUGAUCGUUGCACGGCGAUCGUGGUGGCGUGGGUACGGUGGCGGUGAGCGUGGGAUCGGCCCAUGGGAGUAUUUUUUGCUGCUGGAAUUUUCUGCUAUUUUUUUUGCUUUGGUUGCCGAAAAUCCUCCUCCCUUCUCUUCAAUUUUUUCUUUUUAAAAGCUCCAAAUUUUGUCCUCUUUCUCACUGUUUGCAGGUGGCAGAGGAGCCAUGAUGGCCUAGGGGGGGCUGCUGGAGUAGCUCGGCUGGGAGGGGUACGCUCGGCUGGUGCAGCGGCGAUUAGACAAGUCCAGAAGGACUAAAUUGCAUAGGAUGCAAAGCUUCUGGGGCAAAAGUGUAAUUUUAGCAAAAAUAUGGGCCAAAAUGUAAUUUAUUGAGAGUUUAGGGGUCAAAGUGAAAUUUUGAGAAAGUAUAAGGGUCGAAAUGUAAUUUUAUAAAGUUUUGGGGUUAAAAUGUAAAUUUUAGAAAAGUUUGGGGUCAAAUUGUAAAUUUUGAGAAGUAUAGGGGUUAAAAUGCAAAAAAGUAAUAAAAUUUCUUUUUUUUUUUUCAAGCACGAAAUUAAUCCCGGACAAAAUUCAGUGAUUACAGUCCAUUCACCAACUAUUAGAGGUCUUUUUACCCCUGUCCAUAGGACCUGCUAAGAUAGUCAACAAUUAUUAGUACAAUAAAUAUUUGAUACUAAUAAAUUAUUUUAAUUUAAUUUUACACCAAUUUUAUUUUUUUCUACUGUAUUUUCAUAGUAAUUGUUUUCUACAGACAACCUAAUAAAAUUUCUAUCAGAAAUUUCCGAUUAGACUUCCUAGUUUAAUUUCUAGCAGAAAAUGACUGUUGUUUUCAUAAUAUAUUUUAUCUGACAUGUGAAGAAAUGAUUGUCUAAAAUGGCUGCUGUUUCCAGAACUUAUCAUGUCUGACAUUUAAGAAAUGGUUGUCCAAAAUGAACUUGUUUUCAUAACUUAUUAUGUCUGAUAUUUGUCUAAAAUGGCUGCUCUUUCCUGAACUUAUUAUGUCUGAUAUAUGAAGAAACGGUUGUCUAAAAUGGCGUUGCUUGGUUACGGUGUGAGUUUAAUUCAUUUCUUUCUCGAAUGGUUGGUUGUAUUCUUAUUUUGGUAGGUGAAGUGAAUAAAAUUUGAUUCAAUUUCAAAAUUUUGAUAAAAGAUUUUAAAUUUAAAUUAAAUAGUUCAAAUUAAUCGAGUUAUUUGGAUCAAUUCGAAUAAAAAAAUCAAAUUUUUUGGUUGAAUUCGAAUAUGAACCCGAAUAUGAAUUACACAAUUCGAGUUAUCUAAAAAUCUAAAUAAAAAAAUAUAAAAUUACGUCGUUUUGAUAAAUAUUUACUUCCUCUAAAAUUAAAAGGUAAAAUUACGUUGUUUUGAUAAAUAUUUACCCAUCAACCUUAUUUUCUUUCUUGAAUCCCCCCACUUUCCCUUUUUCCUUUACUCAAAAUUAACCUAAAAGUUAGUACUUCAUCUACUAGUUAAAUAAUCAAUCCAUGUAAGCGCAAUAUUGAGUAUAAAUAAUAUGAUUCGUUAAAUCGACUUGACUUGACUCGAAAUUUUUUUACUCGAUUCGACUCAAUUUUAAAAAAAUACAAAUUGAAUUCGAUUGCUAAAAUAGUAUUCGUCAACUUGACUAACUUAAAUUUUUUUACGCUAUUGACUGCUCACCUCUACUGAUAAGUGUGAUGAAAAUUGAGGGAAAGGUUUUGAUGAUUGUCAGUUGUUGAGUGAGAUAUCGUGACUUGCAAAACCCAUGCAUGCUGUCCGAAUAUGACUUAUUGUUAUGAAAAUAAUUAAAUAUUAAUGUCCUAUGCUGCAAUUAAAAGAUGUCAUGGUGCUGAAUCGCGUUUAAAAUGUGAAUAUUUAUGUUGUCUUAAAACAUUAUCUAUAUGGAUUAAUUGCUUUAAUUUAAACCGUCUUAAUAAUGAAAUCGUGAUAUCUUAAAGCAGUAAAUUGUGGUUAAAAUGUAUAACUCUGGGAGUAAAUCGAGUUUUAUUUGUGGAAUGACAUGUUAUUUUAGAAGUACAAAUUGAGUGUUGCUAAUGGUAAGUUCUUUCAGUUUUUAUUGAUUUAUGUGUAAUGUUUAAUUGAAUUUUUGAGUUUAUAGGUCGGGAAUUUGAAGAUGAAUAUAUGACAACCAGUUGAUAUGAUUACAAACGUGAUAUGAAAGGAUUAUAUUCUUGUAAUAUAAGUUAACAUAUUAAACUGCUUACGAACUUUUGAUUUUUAUUUAUGUCCUCACAUAAUUUAUUUUUGUUAUAAUAUUAGUUAUAGAAAUGUUACUGAGUUGAUUAUUCAGCAUUCGGUUUGCUUUUCGUGUGCAGGUUAGGUUCAAUUGUGUGCGCUCAUUGUUAUCAGCAUCCAGCAGAAAAUCUCGCACUCAUCGUGUUGGUGAAACUCUUACUAUUUUGGUUGGCAUGUACCUAUUGGCUUAUGUUAUAUUAAACUUAGUUAGAGAAUUAUUUCAUACUUUAAGACGUAUAAAUAGACAAGUUAAUUAAUGACUUUGAAUUAUCUUACUAUAAACAAGGGAUCACUCGAAAAUUAAUUAAUGACUUUGAAAUAUUAUUUUAUUAAAUAAUUAAAUUUUGACGUGAAAUUUUAUUACUAGGUCAUCGUGGUUUCAUAAGGACAAGUUAGUUAAAUUAAUUUGUUCAUAGAUUUUUAUCGGUAAAGUUGUCGUGAGUUUAACGAAAUUAGAAUUAAGUUGAGAAAAUAAUUUAGUUAAUUUAAUUAAUUAAAAGAAUAAAAAAUAUUUUGAGCAUAAAAAAUAUUUAUUGGAAUAAAAUUAUAUGAGUUGGUUUAAAAACAAAACAACCUAUAUAAUUAACCCGAUAAAUAAAAAUGCCCAAAUAGAUCCGAUAUAGGAGGGAGGGGAUGCAAACCAGUAUGGACCCAUUGAACUAGAUUUUUAUUAUUUUUUAAUCUUGAUGAUUUAUUUAAACGAACUAAACAGACCAAUCGAAACUAUUAAACCAACAAAUCAAUAACUUGAUUGGUUCGAAUUCUGAAAACGUUCGAUAAAGAACAUAAGUGUUUAGAUCCUCUCAAAUAUUGGAUUACAUCACUUCCAUGGGAGAAAAUGCAAUCAAUGUUCCAAACCCUAAUUCAAUUUUGAUGUCAACAACAUCUCUUUAAGACGCUUCAAGUGAGCAACUAUCUUAUCGGUAUCAGGCAAGUUGUCUUUGAUUACAGGGACUGAUUUGAAAUUUUGGAUCCACGAGCUCACUCGAGGGAAUUUGUGUGGCUCAAAGACUUUAAGCCAUGCUGCGUCUUCGAUAGCCCCGAGCCAGUGAGCAACCAUGCAAAAUGCAAUGUCCACCAUGUUUAUCUCGUCUCCACCGAAGAGUUUUUUCCCUCCGAUUAGCACAUGUUCUUCCAUGGCUUCCAGCAUUUCCAGCCACUCCUUCACUACCGCCUGUUGUUCUUCACCUUCGGUUCGAUAAAGCUUUGCGAUUAUAGGACUUUGUUUUAAACAGAGAUUCUAGUAUCAGCCAUCAAAAUUUAUGUACCAAAAAAAUUUUCAAACUACAAAGAGCUAGAAUCUUAAUUUCAACUAGGUUAAAAUAUGUUACAAGUACUUGUAUUCUUUGUAUGUUUGCAAUUUAGUCCUACUAUUUUUUAUUUCAAGAAAUUUAAUCCCACUACUGUUAAAGUACUUUACGGGUUUGAAAUUUAACCACUACUCCCACAUCGGGGGCUUGAACUUUUUUUGUUCAAACUAGUCCUUGAACUUGGCGAUUGUUCUCAAGGUAUGGCCUAGACCAUUUUUUGUUCAAGUUAAUCCCUAAACUUGACAAUUGUUCUCACAUUGAGGUUUGAACUUUUUUUGGGUCCAAGUUAGACAUUGUAUGAUAAACCACUAAAAAAAUUUAAUCAAUAAAAAAUUAAUAUUUUCAAUGAUUAGUAUUUUACACAUGUUUGAUAAUUCAAAAUAAAAAAAUAAUCCAAUAGAAUUUUUUCUAUAAAAAAAGUGUCGAAAAUGAUGAGUAAAUAAAAGUUAAUUAUCGCUUAAUGGAGAAUAUUUUCAAUUAACUCAAUUUUAUUUUAUUUAUUUUAAUAUUAUGUUAUCCUAUAAAAACUAAAUGUUUAAAAAUAUAAAAAGACAAAAAUAUCUACAUAAUCUUAUAAGCUACCUAGUAGAUUAAAUAUUUUUUUAGUAAUUUCCUAAAUUGAGACAUGGUUGGUGGGUGACACCGACUCAGUAAAAAACUUAAUAAAUAACUAGAAAUUCUAACAUACACGUAUGCAUGUGAAUACCACAAAUUUCGAAUGCAGAUUGAGUCAGUGUCUAGUUAACUUAUGACAUCAACUCAGUUAAAAGCUUUAUUAAUAUUAACUAUAUAUACAACUGGUGGAGGUAAUAAAACGUGCGUAAUAAAAUAAAAAUGUAUAAAAAUAUCAAAAUAAAACUUUAGUUGAAUGGUAUAUUAAAAACUUUAAUAGUGCAAUUGGCAUGGGUUUAAUUCCUACCAUUCUUUAAAGUGACAAGACUAAAUUAACCUUGAAUAAUAUUACUUAUUUUAAUUACGUAAAGGCCUUCUCGUAAUUUCCUAAACAAGUUGGUGCCUGGUUGACUUGUGACACCAACUUAGUCAGUGCUUUAUUAAUACUAGAAAUUCUAUCACGUGCGUAUGCAUGUGAAAACCACAAAUUUAGAACACAAAUGUGUGUUAAAAAUAACAUACAAUAAAUAAUAAAAUGUAUAGGUUGACACUAAAUAAAAAUAAUAACAUGUAAAAUUUGAAGAUAUUAAAAUGAAAAUGAAUAGAUUAAAAUUGUUUAUCAUAAUAUUGUCAUCAAUCUUGAGUCAGUGCUGAGUUAAGUUAAGACACCAGUUCAAUAAAAUAUAUAUAAUUGAUUGGGGUAAGAGUGUGCAUAAUACAAAUUGAAAUGUACAAAAUAUUAAAAUAAUACUUUAAUUAAGUGAUAAAUUAAAAGUUUUUCUAAGUCAAUUCACCAGUUUUCAAUUCCCAUCAUAUGUAUUUUUAUUAUUAUUUUUAAAUAGAAAAAUUAAAUUAUCCUCAAAUAUAUAAAUUAUUUUACUUGCAGAAAAAUAUUUUCGUAUUAUUUCUAAUUUAGUUGGUACCACACUUAUCAAGUCAAUACAACACUUAAAAAAUAAUAUUGACUAUUUAUUCAAAAAAUAUUGACUAUUGAUAUAGAUAAAAUAAAUAUAAAUAAAAAAAAUCAAUAAAUGGGAAAAUUGCCAUAUGCAUCAAAUAAAUAAAAAGGUUUAAUUCAAAAUUAGUAUCUAAAACUAUGCCAAUUUUCUCAUUUUAAGUACCUAAAUUUUUCAGUAAAAAAUAUGCUUAAACUAUUAAAUUCGUUAUAUUUUAUCUAAAAAGUGUACGAUGCCAAUAAAAUUAAUCGUUUAAAUAUCAUUUUUGCCAAAAAAAAACUCUUAGACACCUAAGUGGUAAAUACGAUAUAGUUUGAGGGUUAAUUUUGUAUUUAAGCCAAGAAAAGAAAAGAAGAGGAUUUUACCUUGUCAUCUGCAAAUUUGAUCCAAAACAGAGCAACGGCUCUGUCAUAGGGAUCAGCCGGCAGCAAGGGAUUUUGCGGCCAAAUUUCAUCGAUAUAUCGAAGGAUGACGGUGGAUUCGCAGAUCGGUUUUCCGUCAUGAACGAGCACCGGGACUUUCUUAUGAAUUGGAUUAUAUUGAAGGAGCAAAGGACUCUUGUUGGAGAGAUCUUCUUCGAUGUAUUCGUAAGGUAUGCCUUUGAGUUUCAGAGCCCAAAUUACUCUGAAAACGUACGGACUAAGCCAAGCUCCGAACAGUUUCACAACCGCCAUGGUUGGGAGAUUAGUCGAUUUUCUGGUAGAUCCUGAGAGCGGUGAGUGUAAAUUUAUAAUAGGAUUAGUAGUCAAAGCUUUGAGUAAGGUAAAGAUGAAGCGUUAAUAUAUAUAAUAAUAUAAGGUAAUGUCAUGCAUGAUGCAACUUUAUUACUUGGUUUUUCUAAUUUGAAUAAAUAUUUUGAGAAUAUGUGUUUAAAUCGGUCAGGUUAUUAAUUUGUCGAUUUGAUUAAUGUGAUUAUUCAAUAAAAAUAAAAUAAUUUCAUUAAAAAUAUUUAAAAAUUCAGUUCAAUUCUCAAUUUAAUUAAUUUUUUAAUUGGUUUAAGUUGUUUAAUACUCUUCAUCGAACAAAUAAAUUCGACCAACCGGUUUGAUCCAUAUAUAUUUGCUUAAAAAAUAUGUUUUCUCUUAUAUAGUUAAUGUCUCAUGUAUAUUUAUUUGGUAAACUAUAAAAAUAGUUAUUUUUGUUUGCCUCAGAUUACAUUUUAAUCAGUUAUGUUUAAAAUACGUUGUAGCCACUUACUUUAUAGUUUUGAUACGAUAUGGUCACUCUGUCAUUAACCUCUGUUACCUCCUAAUGACAAUCCUACGUGGCAGUCCAAAUGAGUUUUAAAUGUCGACUUUAAUGUCCAACUUGGACAUUGAUAGGUUUUUAAUUAAUUACACCUUGAAUUGAAAAAAAAAACCGUUCGUCUCCUUUUUCUUUUAGUUUUCUUUUUCAUUUUGACUGAAAAAAUUAUUCUUAUCCCAGUUAGAUAUCUAAAUUGGCAUUUAGAACCCAUCUGGAUCGCCACAUAGGAUUGUCAUUAGGGAGGUAACAGAGCUUCACGGUAGAGUGACUACUUCGUAACAAAACAAUAACAUAAAUGACUAAAAUGUAAUCUGAGACAAACAAAAAUAACUACUUUUACAGUUUAUCCAUAUUUGUUUUGCAGUUUAUAGAGAUGAUUUGUGAUUAUUCUUUUCAAUAAUAUGGUUUUUAAAAUUUUGACUCAAACUUUUUUAUUAAAAAUAUAAUAUAACUUACCAUUACAUAAGAUAAAUUUUUAAAUACAAAAACGAUAAAUAUAUAUAUAUAAACAUUGUUGUAUAUCAUGAUUAGUGAAUAUAAUAUAUUAAAUCUUUUAGGUAUUUAAAAAUGAUCUAAUUUAAAUACAACCUAAACUCUAUCUGGUAUGUUCUAUGUUUUACGUAAGCAAACAUGUCGUCAUGUUUGAUUCCAAGAACUUGCUAGAAAUUUUGAUAUCGUAUGCAUAUGGAAAUUAUAAAUUUAAAAUAUAUAUGUGGGAGAUUUUAGAUACUCUGCUUCUUUAUACAAGCGAGAACUUAAUAAAAUGACGAUAUUCAUUGAUAGUUUAGACGGAGGUUAAGACAUGUUCAUGAGAAAGAGAAUAAAGUUGCAUAUUUCAUAGCUAAAACAGUUUUAGACAAGAAUGAAGGUGUUUGGGUUUUCGAUGAAGCUCCCGGGGCGCUCAUAGCUAAUUUAAAAUGUUUGAUUUAGUUGUUCUCGUGACUUAUUCUUAGCUAAGAGAAUGAAUAGCUGUCCUUUAUUUUGAAGUGGUAGUAUUUUUACAUUUUUUUUUUUAAUUUCAAGUUUAAAUUUGUACUAACUUUGUGUGUGUGUGUGUGUGAGAUAAAAAAAUUACAUCAAAUUUCCUUGAAGAAAAGCUUUGCUACUUUUAUCACAUUGCAACAUCACUAAGACUGCAUCAGGAGGGUUCUCGUAAAUCUAUAAACUUAUCUUCCAUUCUAGAGUCAUCUUUGCCAAGCAAUCGGCCACUGAAUUAGCUUCUCUAGGAACAUACCGAAUCCACCACUGCCCUUCAAAUUCUAAAAUUCGUUUAACUCUCCUAAGCAUAGUAACUCUUGAGUCGUCCCCCCACUCUCUUGUAGGGCUUUGACCAACUCCGGAUUAUCAAUUUGAACUAUUCUUUACUUCGUCCCCCCACUCUUUUGUAGGGCUUUGACCACUUCCGGAUUAUCAAUUUGAACUACUCUUUAUUUUAUGUCUAACUAUUGUAAAACAUAUAUAAUAAAUAAGUAUUUUCCUCGUGUUCUUACACUAAUAAUCAAACGAGGCAUUAGUAUUAUUUCAUCCCACAUCACUUAGACAAGGGUUUUGAACUUUGUUUAAAUGUUAUUCAACACUUCCAUGGGAGAAAAUACAAUCAAUGUUCCAAACCCUAAUUUGAUUUUGAUGUCAACAACAUCUCUCUACGACAUUUCAACAAAGCUAACAUCUUAUUAGUAUCAAGCAAGUUGUCUUUGAUUACAGGGACUGAUUUGAAAUUUUGGAUCCACAAGCUCACUCGAGGGAACUUGUGUGGCUCAAAGAUUUUAAGCCCUCUCUCUCCUUUGCUAAAUGAAUAGGUUUGUUAUUAAUUGGAUAUGGUCACAGCUGUACUGAGAUCAAUUCCACUAAAAAUUGAUGAUUUGAUUGGUUUAAUCGCCAAUUCGAUUGUUAUAAUAUUAAUUCAAAAUAGUCAAUAAAAUAGUUUUAUUCUAGGGUAGAUAUACAUUUUAAUAUUUGAGCAUGAUUUCAAGGUUCAAAUUGAUACUUAAAGUUUAGGGUUUAAGUAGGAGAAUAAUGCACUUCAACACACUCAAACCCACGCGAUUUUAGACUCUUAAAAAUUAACAAUUCAAUUUUAUUUAGUUCUUUAACCUAAAACUUUGAAGUUUGGCUCUCAAUAAUUUAUAUUUUAUGCUAAUCAUUUUUAUUAAAAUAUUUUAAUUUCGAUUUUGUUUCGAAGUGAGCAAUUGAUCAAUUCAAUCCAAUCCAAAGAUUUAACGAACUCUUUUACGAAUCAAAAUAGAACCAAAUUCUCUAUAAAACCAACAAAAUCAAAUUAAUUAUGAAUAAUUUACUACUCUACCUAUGAUUGAAUUACUAAAUAAUAUUGGCAAAAAAUACUAAAUAAUUUUUUUUGUAAAUAUAAUUUUAAUAUUAAUUUUUUCUUUCACUCGUGGAUAAGACAAAAUUCGCUAUUUGAAAUUGAAAGUCGAUUACUUUGAAUGAAAACAAAUUUACCGGACCUGCAACAUACGCGACAAAACUUUUUCUUGUUUGUCACUAUUUUACUGUCAUUUCACUAUUAUGUUGUUAUUAUUUAGAUAUUGUAUAACUCUUAUUUUAUUGUCAAUUUUGCUACUAUGUUAGAGACAUUUGUUUGUUAAGUUGCAUCUAUCUUAGUUUUAUUUAAGUAUAAAAAUUUUUAUUUUAAUUUAUUUUAAUGUUUUAAGUGUAUUUGCUGUAUUAUAUUUUUAAAAUUUUCUAUAUAAAAAAUAAAAUACAGGUAGGCUAGACCAAACCUAUAAAUUGGGCCCAAAAAUUUGUUAAGGCCUGACCUGAUCCGACUUAUAGACACUUCUAUUUUAAACCAUCUUCUUUACUGACUUAGGCAAGUAAAGGAAUUUAUUUAAGCGAGAAGAUAAAAAGGAAAAAAAUAAUCCGAGAAAUAAAAUAAAAAUUCGUAGCAAAGAGAAACAUAAUAUAAAGAAUAUAAAUAUGAAUUUCUUUAUAAAUUUCGGAUCAACGUAAUGAUAAAAGAAUGAUAAUAACAGAUUCAACCCCUAUACUUAAUCAAUAUAUCUAAUAUAUCCUUCUAAUGGAGUUAAAAUCUUACAUCACUUUGAAUGCAACCAAUUGUAUGCUGCCAUGUCGCACUAUUAGUUUGAAAAAUUUUAAUCAAAGUCGAGGGAUUUGAAAAUAGUUAUACCAAAAAUUGUUUCAAAGAUUAAGACCAACCCAAGUCCGGCACAAUUUAGCCCAUCAACUCAUCUACCCUAAACUUAAACUUAAAUUAUACAUGUUUUCUCAAAUAGAUUUUUAAAUUUUUUUUGUUAAUUUGAGUAUUUAAACUAAUUUUUUCCUCACAUUGGCAUCCCCAUUAGUUAUCCCUUAGUCUGAUUUGGUGGAAUAAAAAUAAAAUAGAAAUUAGCUUUCGGAGAGAUAGCUGAGUGGUUGAUAGCUCUAGUUUUGAAAACCGGUAUAGUUCGAAACAAAGAAUUAUUGAAGGUUUGAAUCCCUCUCUCUCCUUUGCUCGAUGAAUAUAUUUCUUUCUUUAUUGCUUUUUCCUAACUUCUUAAUUAAGAAUCUUAAUAUUAAUAAAAGGUAAUGGCUCGGCAGGGUGGAAUAGCUGAGCUAGAAAAAAAUACUUUAGAUAGAAAAUAAGUUGAAACAAAAGGAAAACAUAAUAAUUUUUUAAAUAUCACUUGAUUCUUUCAAUAUAUAUUGUGUAAUCAAAUUGAUUCCUACCUUAAGUAUUGGAUCUCCUGUCUUAGUUAUCUUAGUUAAGAAGAGUCAUGAAAAGAACAAGCUCAAAAUCACGAUCAAUUCCUUUUUCAAAUAUUCUUGCGGUUGUGCGAGCUCUUCCCGUGUGCCAUAAAUAACCCACGAAUAGGAAGAAUCCUGGAACAACAUGAGAGGUAGCUAACCGACUUCUCGAAGAGACAUAAUUAACUGCAUUGAUCUCGGUAGCUAUGCCACCUACGGAAUUUAAAGAUCCUAAAGGAGCAUGCGUCAUAUAUUUCGUAGAACACUGUUCUUGCCAAGGUUGAAUGUCUUUUUUCAACCUACUCAAGUGCAAACCAUUGGGACCUCUUAGAGGUUCUAACCAAGGAGCACGCAGAUCCCAAAAACGUAUAGUUUCCCCUCCAAAAAUAACUUUUCUGGUCAGAGAAUGUGUUAGAUAUUUACCUAACCCAAUAACCCUUGAGCAAAUCCCACGUUAGCUCCAAGACAUUGGUCUCUACUAGAAAAGUAAAUGCUUGAGCUUGAGAAGCUUCUGGUCCAGUGGGCCCGUAAAACUCACUAGGCCAGUUGUUAGUAAACCUCCAUCAAUGAUGAUGUGAUCCAAUCACCAAUCGACGUGUGAAAAAAAAUUACAUAAACAAAUCACCUCGUUAUUUGUAUAAAAUAAUUCCAAAAUUAAAAAAAUAGAGAAAUUAAGAUUAUUUCUCUCAUUAAAAGAAAUUAAAAGAAUUAUUUCUCUCAUUUCUUUCUUAAACAUUGAUUCUUUGUCCCAUAGUUGCCUUCAAAUCCAUCCACCACAUGUUUGGGAAGAUGACCCUCAAGAAAUAAAUUUCAAGCCCGAAAUUGGUGUUUUCCUUUUCAAUGUAUUGAAUUUGUUUCCUUACAAUAAGAUCUUUUACAGUAAAGUGUUGAGAAAAAUGGGAUUAUGAUGUUUUAAUUCUUGACUUAAUGUUGACCAGGUAGAUGGAAGAUGACAAAGUCUCCAUUUGAAGAUCAAAGGAAAUUGAGAUGCAAGUUGUCUUUGGAGAGGAAGUGGGAGGGGAGGGCGGUGGUGGGGGAAGGAUAUAUAUUUUUAAUUCAUAUUAAUAUUAAUAUAAAAUUAUAAAAUCAAAAAAAAGGAAUUUUCUAAUUUUUAUUUUUGCUACGUGUCAAAUGGUAAUUGGGCCUUGUGAUUUCUGAACAAAAAUGAUUGACGGAGGACUAAUAGGGUACCAAUGGGGGGAAUAGUUUAGGUACUCAAAUUGAUCAAAAGAGUGUUUAGAUUCAAACUCACACGAUUUUAGACUCUUAAAAUUUAACAAUUCAAUUUAAUUUAGCUGUUCAACUUAGAACUUUGAAGUUUGGCUCUCAAUAAUUCAUAUUUUAUGCUAACCAUUUUUUAUUAAAAUAUUUUAAUUUCGAAUUUAUUUUGAAGUGAGCAAUUGAUCAAUUAAAUUCAAUCUAAAGAUUUAACAAACUCUUUUACGAAUCAAAAUAGAACCAAAUUUUCUAUAAAACCAACAUAAUCAAAUUAAUUAUGAAUAAUUUACUGCUCUGCCUAUGAUAUUGAAUUACUAAAUAAUAUUGGUAAAAUACAUUAAUAUUAAUUUUUUCUUUCACUCGUGGAUAUGACAAAAUUCGCUAUUUAAAAUUGAAUAAUAUCGAUUCAAAUUAAUUCUUAAAUACAUUUAACGACUUAAAUUUAACUUUUAAUCCUUAGAAUUAAAUCCUUAAUUUAUGUAUAGUUCAUAUAUUAAUAAUAAAAUUUAACUUUUAAUAAAUAUUAUAUUAUGAUACAUUGUUGAUGUGGGUAAAAGAAUAUGUAAAAAUAAAUUUUAUAAAAAAAUACUAAAAAACAAAUGAAUCUUUAUAAUAAUAGUAAAAUUUUAAUUUUAAUAAUUUUAAACUGAUAUUAAACUAUUUCAUAUCAUCCAAUCAAUUAAGUAGAUAUGCUUCUUUUGUAGUUUCUAGUUAUGUAUUUCACCUACAACUUAUGAAUGAUAUUUCUAAUUAAUUGGAUUUGGUCACAGCUGUACUGACAUCGAUUCAACUAAAUAUUGAUAAUUUGAUUGGUUUAACGCCAAUUCAAUUGUUAUAGUAUUAAUCUAAAAUAGUCAAAAAAAUGAUUCGAACCUCGAGUGAGGUUUUUUUUUACCUAGACCCAGCUCGAAUUUGCAAAAAAGAAAAAAAAAACUUUUUCUUGUUGUUUUUCACUAUUUUGUUGUUAUUUCACUAUUAUGUUGUUAUUGUUUGGAUAUUGUAUAACUCUUAUUUUAUUGUCAAUUUUGCUACUAUUUUAGAGACAUUUGCUUGUUAAGUUGCAUCUAUCUUCGUUUUAUUUAAGUACAAAGGUUUUUAUUUUAAUUUAUUUUCAAUUUGUUAGGAAACAUUUAUUUUAAUGUUUUAAGUGUAUUUGGUGUAUUAUAUUUUUAAAAUUUUUAUAUAAAAAAUAAAAUACGGAUGGGCCAAACCAAACCUAUCAAUUGGGCCUAAAAAUUUAUUAGGGCCUAACUUGAUCCGACCCAUAGACAACUCUAUUUUAAACCAUCUUCUUUGUUGACUUAGGCAAGUAAAGGGAUUUAUUUAAGCGAAGAGAUAGAAAGAAAAAAAAUCCGACAAAUAAAAUAAAAAAUCUUCGUUGCAAAGAGAAACAUUAUAUAAAGAAUAUAAAUAUGAAAUUCAGUUGUGGAUAUGACAAAAUUCGCUAUAUGAAAUUGAAAAUCGAUUAAUUUAAUUUUGGAUUUCCAAAAUGAAACAAAUUUAUCGGAGCUACAACAUACUCGACAAAACUAAAAUCAACCUGUUGAAUUGCUUUAGUCAGUUUGACCCGACUAUUGCACACCCUUAGUUUUGCUCCUGGAAUGUAUGUAUACUUGUUAAAAUCGGGACUGGUAUCAUUGGAAUGAAACGUGGAGAGCAAGCAACGAAAAUUUCCGAAGAAAAGUGUCCUCUCCUACUUCCUUCUUCCUUCUUCCUCCUACUUUCUUCUUUCUUUCUUUAUAUGCUUAAUUAUAUCUAUAUCUACGCUUAGAAUUUUGAAAAUUGGGCAAAGCAUCAAUAUAUUCCUUUCUUUAUGAAGACCAGAACCAACGCCCAAGAAAAGAAUCUACUAACCAUGAGGCCUGGACUAAUUUGAUGAAGCAAUUUCAUUUUUGUUCUUCUUCUUCUAAAUAAUUUCACAGUAUCUGAGAGUUGGACAGAAAGAGAGAUGGAAAUUCAACAUUUCAGCCAUCACCAUCCUUUGGUCUUCAUCCAAUCUCACAGUGUUGCAAGCAAAGCAGCUCUUUGCCUUGUGUGUGAGAAACCUGUAGAGGGCUGGAGCUAUGGCUGCAAUCAAUGUGAGUUUUAUCUUCACAAGGGAUGUGCUGAGUUAGACUUAGCCCCCAAGAUUCAGAAUCACUUCCACCCUAAACACCCUCUCACUCUUCAGCCAAAAUCACGUUGUUCUUGGAUAGGAAAGUGCAAUUUGUGUGGUAAGAAAUUUGGGGGAUUUGCUUAUCGUUGUAAUGAUUGUAAUUUCCAUCUGGACAUCAAUUGUGCUUUGCUUCAAUCAUCCAUUGCUGCAAAUUUUCCUAAUUCUUUGCACCCCCAUCCUUUACACGUCAUUCAAAAUCAUAACAAGGAAGUCGAGCCUGAUUGCCUGGGGUGUCGGAAACCAAUAUCUGGUCCAUUUUACCACUGUUCAGAUUGCACUUAUCCUACAGUCUUUAACCUUCAUAAGGAAUGUGCUGAACUACCCCUUGAGAUUAAUCACCCCUAUGACCGUAAGCAUCCUCUUACUCUCUUGCCACAACCGCCUACUCAUCCCCAGAAAUGUAGUUGCUCUUUGUGCAGAAUCCAAUGGAAGGGGUUUGUUUAUUCCUGCUCUCUAUGCAACUUUGAUCUUUCACUUGAUGAUUUUCUUUUUUCACCACCAACAAUCACAGUUGCAAGUCAUGAACACCCGUGGAUGCUUGUAUCUAGAAAAAUGUGGUUUGUUUGUGAUUUUUGUGGCACUGACGGAGAUCACUCCCCCUUUGUCUGUGCUACAUGUCACCUCCUUGUCCACAAGAAUUGCAUUUCAUUGCCACGCCACAUCAUGAUAACACGACAUCGUCACACGAUUUCUCUUUCCUAUUCUCUUCGACAAAAUCAAGUUGAGGAUUGGAUGUGCAAAAUUUGUUACGAGGAAGUUGAUAUAAGGUAUGGCAAUUACCGUUGUCCUGCUUCUCGUUGCCGUUAUAUUUCUCAUGUACGUUGUGCAACUGAUAAAGCAAUUUGGGAUGGAACAAUUAUGCCGGAAGGCUAUGACGAGAGGUCCGAGGAAGUGGUGGACGAACCUUGGAAUUUGAUUACUGAUGUUGUUGAACAAAUUCGUAUUGGAGAGCUAAUGGUAGCAAGUGAGAUCAAGCAUUCCUAUCAUGAUCAUAAUUUAAGACUCACUUUUAGUGGGAAGACCAAAGAUGAUGAUUGUCAGUGCGAUGGGUGCACGAGACCUAUAUCAACUCCUUUUUAUCGUUGUGAGCAAUGCAAGUUCUUUCUCCACAAAGAUUGCGCUGAAUUGCCCAAAGAAAUGCCACACCCAUCGCACAUGCAUUUGCUUACUCUCGUGAACUUACAUGGUAAGUUGGGUUUUUCAUGCUGCUGUGCUUGCGGUCGUCCGUGUCAAGGAUUUAGUUAUAUAUGCUACAAAGGAUAUUGCGGCUACCAAAUUGACAUUCAAUGUAUGUUAUUUUCGGACACCUUGAAGCACCCAAGUCAUGAGCAUUCACUCUUUCUUUUCCACAACAAAGAGGGAACGAGUUGCAGUGCUUGUUUCAGAAAACUAUACUACUCAUUUGCAUAUAGAUGCAUGAAGCGCUGUGAUUUCAGUUUAGAUGUAGGUUGUGCAACACUACCACUCACUGCUUGGUACAAGUAUGACAGGCAUGCUCUUACUUUGACUUUUUCUGAUGAUUCUGAGCCUUCUCAACUUUUCUGCGAUAUCUGCGAAAAAAAAAGAAAGCCAAAUCGUUGGUUUUACUACUGUGCUAAUUGUGAUAACUCUCUUCAUCUCAAUUGUGCUAUUGGGGAUCUCCCAUAUAUGAAGCUUGGGAACAAAAUCGAAGGUAUAAGGCAUCGACAUCCAUUCAAUGUUGUGAAAAACAUCUGGAAUUGCCCUCCAUGUAAGGGAUGUGGUGAGGUUUGCAAUGGGCAGGCCCUAGAAUGUAAAGAAUCUGAAUGCAAUUUUACCGUCCAUUGGAAUUGCCUUUUGGAUCUCCGGGAAUGAUAUACCACUCAAGUUGAAGAAACAGAGAAGGCGCAACAUCACAGGCGUGUGGUGUUGUGUGGAAGGGUGUAGGAGAUUUGGUAAAAAUGGGUGAUGGCCUUAGUUGUUGUAAUCUGCAUUAUGUGAUGUUAAUGGUUGUGUUAGAUAAAACAUGUGAUUUGUAACCACACAUCUUUAUCUUUCACGUUUGUAUUUGCUUCUUAUAAAAAAUUAGUGGUGAGAAGGAAGAAAUGGUUUUUAGGUGGUGAUAAUAAAAUAUUUUUAAUAUGAAAAUACGAAAAUAAUGUUGAGUUUGGAAAUUUAAAUACAAAAUCAUUCUUCCCUUCAUAACUGCAUACAAAAUUGUGUGUGAUUUUUAAGCCCAAAAUAUAAGCGGAUUUGGUAUAUCUUAUUAUUUUUGCGCAAAACUGUAUAUAUGUUUUAGCUUUACAAUUUUGGUUAAUUAAGUCAACUUAAUUAAUUUUAUUUCUACUACAUGUUCUAAUUAAUAUGCUAAAAUGUCCUUUUAUUUCUUUGCCCUCAAAAUAUUAAAAAUAAAAAAUCUCUUUUCUUUCAGUUCGUUUUUUAACUUUUAAUUUUUAUCAGAUGAUUCGGAACUAAGUGAAAAAAUUAACAAGCUGUUAAUUUUGAUGAUGUGGGUGAUUAAUGUUGAUUUGAUAUUCAUAACAAUCCACGUCAGUAAAAAUUAAUUAUUCAAUCUUAUUAUAGAUUCUUAUUAUAUUUACUCUUUUUGACAUAAUGCUUAGAACUACCUAUAGUCCCAAUAAGAGUAUAAUGUGCUUCAAUGCACUUGAAUCCACGUCCUCCUGCAUUGGCAAUAAUGCUCAUGCUAAUCGAAUUAAAACUCAAACAGCUACUUACUAAUUUUGAAAAUAUUCAAAAUUAUUUUCUUAAAUAAUUUAAUAUUGAGCUGUCAAUUUUAAAAUAUUAAUAUAUUAAACCAAAAAAAAACUGUAAAUAGAACUUCGAUAUCUUGAAUCUACCUUUGGAUCAUCUUAAGAUUCUACAAAAGUAGAGAAAAAAAACAGAGCUUUUAACUCGAAUAAGAGAAAAUAAUUUUGAUACCUAAACUUUAAUUCUAUUUAUUAUUGCCAUAUAUCCUUCUAAUGGAGUUAAAAUCUUACCAAUUGUGGGACUAUUAGUUAGAAAAUUUUUAAUCAAAGUCAAGGGAUUUGAAAAUAAUUAUACCAAAAUUUAUUUUAAAACCCUAAAUGAAAAAUAGUAAGACCAACCCAAGCCCGGCACAAUUUAGCCCAUCAACGCAUCUACCCUAAACUUAAACUUUGCCCUCACGCUACCCAAUUCAAUCUAGGCUUAAUAUAAAAAUUGCCCCCUAAAUUAUUUUCAUUUUCUCACAUAGGUAUCUAAACCUUUUUUUUUUGUCAAAUUGAGUACUUAAAGUAAUUUUUUCCCGCAUUGGUACCCUGUUAGUUAUCCCUUAGUCAGCCAUUAGUCAACAUUGUUCAAUGUUCAAUGAUGAUGCGGCCCAAUCACUAAUAAGCACGUGGCAAAAAAAAGCCACAUAAGUAAACCAUCUCAUUCUUUGUAUAAAAUAAUUCCAAAAAAUAAAAAAUUUAGAAAAAUUAAAAUUAUUUUUUGAUUUUAUAUUAAUAUUAAUUAAAAAUAAUAUUAAGAAAUAUUUUCACACCCUGUUCCUCUCCAACGAUCCCCCACCAUCCUCACCCAACCCUCUCCCUCUGCUAACCCUUCAAUUAUAUUUUCAUAUAAAAAAAAAUUCCUCCUUUCUUUCUUCAACAUUGAUUCUUUGUCUCACAAUUCCCUUCAAAUCCAUCCACCACAUGUUUGGGAAAAUGACCCUCAAAAAAAGAAAUUUUGAGCUUGAAAUUGGUGUUUUCCUUUUCAAGCACUGGAUUAGCUUCUCUAGGAACAUAUCGAAUCCACCACUGCCCUUCAAAUUCUAAAAUUCGUUUAACUCUCCUGAGCAUAGUAACUCUUGAGUCGUCCCCCCACUCUCUUGUACGGCUUUGACCACCUUCAAAUUAUCAGUUUGAACUAUUCUUUAUUUUAUGUCUACCUAUUAUAAAACAUAUGUAAUAAAUAAGUAUUUUCCUCGUGUUCUUACACUAAUAAUCAAACGAAACAUUAGUAUUAUUUUAUCCAACGUCACUUAGAUAAGGGUUUUGAACUUUGUUUAACUAUUAUUUAACACUUAUGGGAGAAAAUACAAUCAAUGUUCCAAACCUUAAUUUGAUUUUGAUCUCAACAUCUCUCUACGAUGCUUCAACAAACCUAACAUCUUAUCAGUAUCAGGCAAGUUGUCUUUGAUUACAGGGACUGAUUUGAAAUUUUGGAUCCACGAGCUCACUCGAGGGAACUUGUGUGGCUCAAAGAUUUUAAGCCCUGCAAAGUCUUCGAUCAGCCCGAGCCAGUGAGCAACCAUGCAAAAUGCAAUGUCCACCAUGUUUAUCUCGUCUCCACCGAAGAAUCUUUUCCCUCCGAUCAACGCAUGUUCUUCCAUCGCUUCCAGCAUUUCCAACCACUCCUUCACUACCGCCUCCUGUUCUUCACCUUCGGUUCGGUAAAGCUUUGAGAGUAAAUGACUCUAUUUUAAGCAGAGAUUCUAGUAUCAGCCAUCAAAAGUUAUUUGCCAUAGAAAAACCCAAACUACAAAGUGCUAAAAUCUCAAUUUCAACUAGGUUAAAAUAUGCUACAAGUCUUUGUAUUCUUUGUAUGUUUGCAAUUUAGUCCUAUUUUUCGUUUCAAGAAAUUUAAUCCCCCUACUGUUAAAGUUAAAAAGGGUUAAAUCACUUUAGGAGGCUAAAACUUAGUAACUACUCCCACACUAGGGGCCUAAACUUUUUUUUUGUUAAAAUUAGUUCUUGAACUUGGCGACUGUUCUCACGGUAUAGCCUGAACUAUUUUUUGUUUAAGUUAAUCACUGAACUUGACUAUUAUUCCGACAUUGAAGCUGGGGGUUUUUUUUUUUUUUGGUCCAAGUUAAACCUUGUUUGAUAAACCAUUGAAAAAAUUGAUUAAUUGAAAAUUAAUAUUUUCAAUGAUUAGUAUUUUACACAUGUUUGAUACUCCAAUAGAAGUUUUUCUAUAAAAAAAAGUGCGGAAUAUGAUGAGUAAAUAAAAUCUAAUUAUAACUUCAUGGAAAAUAUUUUCAAUGAACUCAAUUUUAUUUUAUUUAUUUUAAUAUUAAGUUAUCUUAUAAAAACUUAAUGUUUAAAAACUUGAUUUUGGUUUAGAAUAAAGUAAAAUGUUUAAAAUUUAAUGAAAAAAUGUAAACUAUAAUUUUAUAUAAUUAAAAUUCUAUAUUUAUCAAAAAAAUUAAUUAUAUUUUGUAAUUAAUUUUAAUUAAUGUAUCAAACAAAUUUUAUAACUUAAAUUUGGCACUUAAAAUUUCAAUAUUAACCCUUAUUUUUCAAUACUUAAUUUUCCAAUUUAUCAAACAACACCUUAAUCCUUAAUAUUUUCUUAAAAACCCUAAUGUUGAAGCUCUUACGUGGGAACAAUUACCUAGUUCAAGCACUAACAUGAGAACAAUUACCAAGUUUAAGGAUUAACUUGAACAAAAAAAAAGUCCAUACCCCAAUGUAGGAACAAUUACCUAGUUCAAGCCUUAACAUGUGAACAAUUCCCAAGUUUAUGGAUUAAAUUUGGACAAAAAAAAGUUUAAACCCCAAUGUGAGAAUUUUUGACAAAUUCGGGCCUCAAAUUAUGAUUUAACCCAUUUAAAAAUGUAAAUAUAGUCGUAAACGUAAUUAAUUCUUUAUGCUAAAUUCAAGUUCAUAACUCUUUUUUUUUUUUUUGUUAUAUGACUAUUAAAUGAGUAACUUUUUUAAUUUCAAACUAUCGCACCAACAAAUUUAACAAAAAAAUUAACCGUGUUAACAAUUAAAUAUAAAUUUUGAUAUAUAAAAAGUAGAGAUAUUAAAUUCUUGAAAAUAAAAGUAGAUGAACUAAAUUCUAAAUAUAUGAAGAAUACGGGACUUAGAGUGUAUUUUAACUUUUCAACUAUCAUUAAAUAUUUAAUACUAGAUUAUAAUAAAUAAAAGACACCUACUUCAUGAAUGAAAUUAUUAUAAUGUUAUUUUUAUCUUUUUAUAUUUUUAUUUUGAUGCAGAAUUUUUUUAUUGAUAUGAAAUUUAUUAUUAAUUGAAUAUAGUUUAUUUGAGUUGGUGGAUGACACCGACUCGGUAAAAAGUUUAAUAAAUAAUUAGAAAUUCUAUCACAUACAUAUGCGUGUGAAAACCAUAAAUUUCAAACAUUAAUGUGUGUUUAAAAAAUAACAUACAAUAAAUAAUGAAACGUAUGGUUUAAAACUAAUUAAUAAUAACAUAUGAAAUGUAUAUGAUGUUAAAAUGAAAAAAAUAGAUUAAAAUUGUGUAUCAUUUUGUUGUCCUCAAUCUUGAGUCAACGUAGAGUUAACUUUUGACAUUAACUCAAUUAAGGGUCUUAUUAUUAUUAACUAUAAAUACAACCGGUGGAGGUAAUAAAUCGUGCAUGAUAAAAUAAAAAUGUAUAAAAAUAUUAAAAUAAAACUUUAGCUGAAUGGCAUGUACAUUUUUUUAAUGAAAAAAUUAAAAUACCCUCGAAUAAUAUUACUUAUUUUAAUUACGUUAAAGCCUUCCCGUAAUUUCCUAAGCGAGUUGGUGCCUAGUUGAUUUGUGACACCAACUUAAUCAGGUGCUUUAUUAAUACUAGUAAUCCUAUCACACACGUAUGCGUGUGGAAACCACAAAUUUAGAAGACAGAUGUGUAUUUAAAAAUAACAUAUAAUAAAUAAUAAAAUGUAUAAGUUGACACAAAUAAUAAUAAUACAUAAAAUAUGUAAGAUAUUAAAAUGAAAAAAUUAAAAUUGUUUAUCAUGAUGGCCGAAUUUGGACAAGUAUAAUGUAUGAUAUCACGCUUAGACUCAAUUUGAACCCGACCUGACUCAUGAGCACCUCUAGGACCACCUUUAUCAACUCAAUACAACACUUAAUAAAUAAUAUUCACUACUGAUAUAAAUAAAUAAAUAUAAAUAUAAAACAUCAAUAAAUGGGAAAAUCUUCAUAUGCGUCAAAUAAAUAGAAAAAGGUUUAACUGCAAAAUUACUGUCUAAAUUAUGUCAAAUUUCUCAAUUUAAGUACAUAAAUUUUUUGGUCAAAAAUAUGCUUAAACUAUUACUUUCGUUAAAUUUUAUCUAAAAAAGUGUACGAUGCCAAUAAAACAUGGUGCUAUAUUUUUUUGGUAAAAUAAGAUAAAAUUAACCGUUUAAAUAUCAUUUUUGCAAAAAUAAAAAAACUCUUAGGCACCUAAGUGAUAAAUACGAUAUAGUUAGAGGGUUAAUUUUGAAUUUAAACCAAAAAAGAAAAGAAGAGGAGUUUACCUUAUCAUCGGCAAAUUUGAUCCAAAACAGAGCAACGGCUCUGUCAUAGGGAUCAGCAGGCAGCAAGGGAUUUUGCGGCCAAAUCUCAUCGAUAUAUCGAAGGAUGACGGUGGAUUCGCAGAUCGGUUUGCCGUCGUGAAGGAGUACUGGGAUCUUCUUAUGAAUUGGAUUAUAUUGAAGAAGCAGAGGACUUUUGUUGGAGAGAUCUUCUUCGAUGUAUUCGUAAGGUAUGCCUUUGAGUUUUAGAGCCCAAAUAACUCUGUAAACGUACGGACUAAGCCAAGUUCCGAACAGUUUCACGACCGCCAUGGUUGGGAGAUUAGUGGAUUUUCUGGUAGAUCCUGAGAGCGGAGAGUGUAAAUUUGU